This 59024-nucleotide long non-coding RNA is filed under the name Nicotiana tabacum (common tobacco). RNAcentral's name for it is "long non-coding RNA (NTAB_LNC013568)". Lineage: Eukaryota; Viridiplantae; Streptophyta; Magnoliopsida; Solanales; Solanaceae. The record is from RNAcentral.
UUUUUUUUUGGUAUUAUACUUGGAGGCCUUGUUUGCCCAAAUUUCAUGUUGAAGGGUCUAAGUAUGGAUGUUUGUUCACACGGGCCUUCGGGCGUCGUGUGCCGGUCGCACCUCGCGAGGUUAGAGUAUGACAAUUAUCAUGAGGAUGAGCACAUUUUGAGGAUGGUUCGGAAGGUAUGAUAACUAGUGCGACAUGAGCUUAUGAGGAGAUUCGACUGGAUAACAGUGCGACGUCAUGGCAGUUAAGAAGGAAGAGUAUUAUGGGUUAUUAGAUGAUUGUUUUAUAGAUUCAAGAAAAGUGGGGGAGUCUACUAUGGAUGAUUAGUUCAUAUGGACAUGUGUUAUUAUAGAUCCUGGACUAGGAUGCACUUGUGGACUAGCUAUAAUUUGAGAAGGGUGUCAUCGAGAAUGAUUUGGGCAAGGAAUUUACUAAAUGCAUGGUGUAUAACACCUUAUUGAUAUAUGGAGGUUGUGGAGUGGCUCAAGUUUGAUAUUCCAUUGUGGAUGUAGUGUGCAGGAUAAAGGAAUUUCUCCGUUACUUCUUUUGGGGUAUUCAUGUCCUAGCAGAGCAUUAGUCGUUUAACAUGUUUGGCUAUGCAUUCAGGACUAGGUCAGAGUGGGUGACUCUCGACUAGUGGAUUCAAGAUCCCGAUUCCGAGGCCGUUUACUCUAAAAUCCAAUCAUAGUCAAUUCUUCCAACUUAAAGCUUUCGAAAUGAGAAUUUUCUUUCCAAUUCACCUCUGAACUUCCCAAAAUUCAAUCCCGACCAUGCGUACAAGUCACAAUACCUGAAAUGAAGCUGCUCAUGGUCUCAAACCGCCGAACGACGCGCUAGAGCUCAAAACGAUCGGUCGGGUCGUUACAUUCUCUCCCACUUAAACAUAUGUCCGUCCUCGAACGUGCUAAGAACUGCUCUGAAGUUGUCUGAAACCACUGCUUAACACCUCGUGCACCUACCUGUGCUACCACAACUCGGUUGAGCACACUGGCUCGAGCAAAUCUGAAGAUUCCCCUUGUGUUUAGUCAAACUAGCCUUAGAGCCAAAUUCCAACAUCCGGAAUCUUCUGCUAGGCCUGUUUCCAACAUACGAUCACCGUACCAAUCACCACACGAUGUAUCAAAACAUGACUGUAUACCUUUGCUAAAUUCACACCAUGCACCACAUAAUUCACAUGACCAUAAUAACAUCCUCUGAUAACAAUAGCCAAAAUUCCCUGAAUCUGAUGUUCACCAUGCACCUCAUGACAUACAUAGGUCUGGUUCCAACUCUUGCAAUACCGCCACUACGAAAGAGACAUGUAGAAAUUCAUAACCAACUGCCGAGUCAACAAAUCAUUGAAUCUCUCCUCUUAACUAGAAUCAUCACCCCAUUAUGAACCGAAUAAUGAUGUUUGCUCUUUUAUAUGCUUCAUAUAAAUCGAUCGCACUGAUCCCUGAUCCAAAAAUCUCGUCUCACCUAGUAUUAUUUGCCCAGGCAAUAGGCCACCUCAGGCACUGCCAAAAGUUGCAUAUGAUGCCACAAUGUGACAAUAAGCGACAAACCCGAACGUGAUACCUAAGGAAAAUGAACUCUAGAAAGGAUUACUCAACCCGCAUAACUAAUUAGACAACCGAAAAGGUGUUACGAACCUUCCUCAAAAAAUGGAAAAUAAAACACACGAAAAUAGACAUAGGGGACUGCACUCAAUAUCACAUUGUUUCGGCGUGCAACCCGAUCCAAACAACAUGCAUGUGGCGGCGUGCCACCCGAUCCACACAUAAAAUCUAUAUAAGGAGAUACUUACCGAGCUAGAAUGCUCAUUAUUACAAAAUACCCGAAUAUCGGCCACAAGAACGCUAAGUGCAUAAUACCAUCCCUGGGGAGACAGAUAAUGUCAUACGAUACAAAACCCAAUCACAACUAAGGUGCGAUAUAUGAUUUGCAUCUCGAGAGCCAUCCUGCUCAUAUAACACUAUCGCUACGCUGAACCUCAACACACAUGAAAUUAACAAGCCGUUUCACAACUCACACGGCACAAUAUAGCACUACAUGAAAAAGCCGACGACGAAAUGACAUCCAACGUCUGAAUACUCCUCCAUAAGAAGAACUAUGCUGAAAUGAACACAUACAGCCUGAUACAGAGCCCAUAUUCAUAUUUAAAUCCUUUCAUGGACCUCAAGCCGAUUCUGAUCGCACCGUACCAGGCUAAUAACCUUUCAAGGGUCUAUAAUAACCCUUUUUUUCAUAACACAUAAGAACAACCAUCAUAAUCGGAAAAAGCUUCCACAGUCCACCACCAGACGAACUGAGCGUCCUCCAGGCACGAAUUCCCAAUUAGCGAUAUUACCACAAUCUUCAUACGUGGUUUUCAUUCUUCAAUCAAUCAAGUGACUACACGUCACACUUAUACAAUCUUCCCGUGGGAUAUGCUCCUAUGACCUUCCGCACCAGGUAACAAGUCUGUACAUUCAUACUACCGGCCACACCAACGUUGUAAAGUAAUUCAAGAAUCUGCAUUCAGUAUGCAAAGCCUCUUCACACCAGGAACCGAUCCCAGGUGACGCCAAAAACAAUGCCAGCUGACUCUAACCAUCUGAGUCCUUUCUCGCUCGUCUGAGCUCGUGACAUUCUUGUCAACACCGAACCGCAACCUUGAUCCUCAACUUCCAAAUCCCAUGCUAAUCACUGCACUUAAUCGUGCCAAUGCGCAAGAGCACCAAAAAUUUCAUCAUAACUCCGGAACCACUAAUAGGGUAAACACUUCAUCAUAUAGAAACAUUUUACUCAGCUCAUUUCAAGAGAACCAUUGCAACAUGCUGCCAAAUUCCCAUGACCACAGAAAAUACAAACCUCGAGUAGUGGUUUAAACCAAUAUAAUUCUUACGGGAUCCGUCUACAUAUAACAUGCCAUAAUGCUUGAAUGCCCCCAAAUAAAAUCAAUUAUGGCAGCCGUCAAACCUCGCAUGUACCGCCACAAAUCAAAUGCAUAAUUCAACACGCUGAAGGAGCUGAUCAUUGCCAUCAUCAUGCCAAUUCAGCCAUUGCUAACCAAACCCGAUUUCUCCUAAUUUACUCUAGAUCUUCCUUAGAAAUAACAACAGCUCCUUUAUCAAUAUAACAAACUCAAUCUGCACUCAUCCCGAGUGACCCCAUUUCACGAGAUUCAUACCCUCCUUGUGCGCAUAAUCGCGUCUUCAACUAAUAUACCCAUUUUGAUGACUCUUCUAUAAAUCCAAAGUUACAUGCACCCCUUCCUUUGAUGAUACCCCGUAGACCAAGGAUAACACGGAACGCUCCAGGCUCCUUUAUCAAAAUCUGCUGCAAAAGCUCGAUAUUCAACCAUAUUAUGGACUCGAAAUCCUUAGACAACACACCUUAACUUUUGAAUCUACUAGGGCCGUUAUUGAGAGUCACCCACUUUGACUUGGUCCCGAAUAUAAUAAACUCCAAGUCUCUGUUAGCACAUGAGAACCCUCUCAAAGAAGCACCUGGCCGAAUCAUCUUCCUUAUAACUCGCCUCUACACAGAGCAUAAAUCCUGAGUUUUCCCAAAACCUAAGCAUGAAUCGAUAAGGCCAACUAUAGCACACAUUCCUCAAAUUGCUUGCUCAAAUUACCACUGAUAUUCUCCUUCCUUAGUCGUAACAACCCAUCAAUAUGACGAUACCCCAAAAAUCUUACAAAUAGACGACCAUGCAAUCCAACUGUAGGCGGUGGAACUCUCCCACUUAUCUUGAAGCUACUAUUGCAUAAACCUGGAACCCACCAAGAUUCUUCCUUCAUCGACAUGAUCUAGCAUAAUCAACCUGCCAAAUUCCUCGAAAUCUUUUCUGUUAAACACUUCAUGAAUACUCUGAAUCACUAGCCACAUGCACAUAUUCGACCUCUUCCUGGAUAGUCAGUAGAAAUUCUCCGUAGGAGCUUCAUCAACACCACACAACCGCUAACCCGCUCACUGGAGAUAACCCACAUGUGGAAAUUCCAUACCGACAUCCUCCAACAAUGCUGCACUGAGUACAAUAACCAUGAAGCCAAUAAACCAUCCUUAGCCCAUGCUCAUUCACCAGCUAUACAAGUCUAUUCACUCCUCAUGGACAUCAACUAAAGGUGCGACAAUACAUUCCAAUCUAAAGUCAUGUUGUAUCCCUCUUCAUAUCAGCAAACUCAUUUAUGUCGCAUCCAAUCUUCCCCCAGUAUAACAGCCAACAUUCUAAAUUAAGUCUCUAGACCUAGUCAUUGUCCACCAUGAAUCCCAAAUCACUCCAAACUUUCCUCAAGAUGUGUAGCUAUCCUACCCAGUAGCCCAUAUGCUACCUUGUCACUCUCCCACUUUGGUCAAAUCCUCUCCUUUAAGCAACUACUCGACUUCUGUUUCUUACACAUGGCCUUCUAGGAACUUAACCACCACAAGACACCUCCCACAUGACCUUCCUCAUCCUUCGCUGCCCAGUUGUUGCCUUAAAUCAAAAUCUAACUCUGUAGCACUUAAACCAAUAGAUCACUACCAACUUUAAACCCUUCAGAAAAUCAUCUUUCUCGAGCCAUCAAUAUCGGGAAUGUCGAUCCGAUCCUGAGCCACUGCACACUACGACCUCAGACAGCCGCUUUCUCGGCAACAUUUAUAAUACUAUGCCCCAAGACAUAGGCAAGCAUCCUACCAUUAUCUCAAUAUUGUGCAAUAACAACUCAUGUGCAUCAUAGCAACCUAUGCAUAGCCUCAAUGCUCUCAGAAGUAUAGCUAUUGAGCUGAAUUGACAUAAUAUCCUUCCACAAGGCGACUAUAAUAGCUUAAUCAAUUACGCAGGGAGAAACAUCUCGCACCACAUCUAUAGUACUAUUAAAAUUCCUCAAUUCUCGAUUUAUAACUAGCGCUUCACGUCGCAUAAAAUUGAAUAGGAAGGAAAUGAAGACAUAAUCCUCAAAGGAAUCAAAUCGCACGAUGAGGAAUCAAGAAAGGGAAGUGCUCUUAACAGCCCUGUAGCCUAUCGAAGAUAAGUAUAGACGUCUCUGUACCGAUCUGCAAGACUCUACUAGACUCGCUCAUGAUUCGUGAGACCUAAGUGAACCUAGUGCUCUAAUACCAUGUUGUCAUGACCCAAAAUCCAUAAAGGUCGUGAUGGCGCCGGACUCCACUGUUAGGCAAGCCAACAAUAAAUGCUUAAUUAGGUUCUCAUUUUGUUACUUUUGAAAUCAUAUUUUCCUUCAAUUAAAUAGCAAAAUAUGGAGUUUACAAAGUAAAUAAUAAUAUUUUCGACAAUUUCAAUACAAGACAACCCAUAAUCACCCCAAAACCCGGUGUCACAAGUGCAUGAGCAUCAACUAGGAAGAUAAAAUAAAAUACAACACUUGUCCAAAAUACAAAUUAGAGAAGAAAAUACAUAAGAAACUUUGAAGGGGACUCUGCUGGCUGCGAAUCGUAAAUGGGAAUGCAGCUCACCUAAGUCUCCGCAUUUAACCACACCUCUGCGCCCGGGAUGCUGCUAGUCAUAUAUGCACCUGCACAAUAAUGUGCAGCAAGUGUAGUAUGAGUACGUAAAUUAACAUGUAACCAGUAAGUAUCCCGCCUAACCCCGAAGAAGUAGUGACGAGGGGUCGACUUCGACACUUACUAGUGGUCCAAUAAUAUCAGGUACAGUAAAUAAGUGAAUGAAUAUGAGCCAAAGUAAAUAUAUGAAACAAACAAGUAUAAAAUACNNNNNNNNNNNNNNNNNNNNNNNNNNNNNNNNNNNNNNNNNNNNNNNNNNNNNNNNNNNNNNNNNNNNNNNNNNNNNNNNNNNNNNNNNNNNNNNNNNNNNNNNNNNNNNNNNNNNNNNNNNNNNNNNNNNNNNNNNNNNNNNNNNNNNNNNNNNNNNNNNNNNNNNNNNNNNNNNNNNNNNNNNNNNNNNNNNNNNNNUGAAACGUACAUGUGACGCGGUUGCACAUAGAUUUCUUAAGCUAUUAUAGCAUUACUCAAUCCUUUUCGAUAUUACGAAGUUCGAACGAAACCUUUUAAAUCUUAAGUUCUUCAAUUUUAACUCCUUUCAAAACAUUUAAUAAGCAGACUAAAUCUCGCUCCCUCUCAAGGCAAACAAUAAACAUAAAUCAAUAACAAUAUCAACAAGGCAUGAUGUGAGCCUAAAACUACCCGGACAUAGGCAUAGCUAGUAGCUACGUAUAGACUCUCGUCACCUUGUGCGUACGUGGCCCCCACAAAUAGAAGCACACAAUAAUUUAGUUCACCUAUGGGGUUAAUUCCCCCUUACAAGGUUAGAAAGGAAACUUACCUCGCUCCGAAGUUUUAUAACCGGCUCCCAAGCCAUUCAAUCAACUCAAAUCGAUGCCCAAAGCUCCAAACCUAGUCAAUAAAUGAGCAAAUCCAUAAAUAUAUACUCUAAUACUCAGUAUAAUCCUAUUUACAACAAUUCCCAACUCUGUUCGAAAAGUCGAUAAAAUCACCCUCAGACCCACGUGCCCGAAUUCCGAAUAUUUUCGAAGAUAAUCAUUACCCAUAACCUUAUGAACUCAAAUAUAUGACUUAUGUCCAAUACCAUGCUCCAAUUCUUGGUAAAAAACUAAAAAUACCAAAUUCUAGGUUUUCUACAAAAACCCCCACAAUUUCUACUAAUUUUCAUGUCUAAAUCCAUAUAUAAACCAUGUAUUUAACUUACAAUAGGUGGGAAUUAACUUACCUCCAAGUUUCUAGGUGAAUGCUCCUCUCAAGAAGCUCUAAAGAUCGUCCAAGAGUGAAGAAAUGAGAAAACAAUGCUCAAAUCCCCGCUUUAAACACUCACUACCCAGCGAUCAUCCCGCCCGCAGCUUCGCAUGAGUCAAAAUCCUUCGCGCCUGCGGUGUCCGUGCCCACGAAAGAUUUCUCGCACCUGAGGCUUUUACCCGCGGAAAAAUUCUUUGCGCCUGCGAUGCACUUUUCGCUCCUGCAGCUUCACACUUGCGGCCCUUUUUGCGCAGGUGUGAUCACACCAGAUAUCAGCUGCCUCAACUCUUCUUUAAAUUCCAAAUUCAAUCUGUAAACCACCCGGAAUCCGUCCGGGUCCCUCGGAACCUUAACCAAUUAUACCAACACGUCCCAAAACACAUUACAAACUUAUUCGAGCCUUCAAAUCACAUCAAACAACGUCGAAUUCAUGAAUUGCACCCCAUUCCAAGCCUAAUGAACUUUAGAAUUUCAAACUUCUAUAUUCGAUGUAGAAACCUAUCAAACCACGUCCGAUUGGACUCAAAUUUUGGACACAAGUCAUCUUUGAUAUUACGGACCUACUCCAACUUCCGAAAUCAAAUUCCAACCCCGAUAUCAAAAAGUCCACUCCCGGUCAAACUUCUCAAAAUUAACCAAAUUUCCAAUAUUCUCCAAAUGACCCCAAAAUGACCUACGGACCUCCAAAUCCACUUCUGGUUGUGCUCCCAAUACCGGAAUCACCAUACGGAGCUAUUUCUAGACUCGGAAUUCCAAACGGACAUCAAUAAUAUUGAAAUGCACUUCAACCCAAAUUUGUGGAAUUCUUCUAAAAAUGCUAACCUCCACAAUAGGUGCCAAAAAGCUCCCGGGGUAUCCAGAACCCGAUCCGAACAUACGCCCAAGUCCGAAAGCAUCACACAAACCUGUUGGAAUCUUCAAAUCCCGAUUCUGAGGUUGUUUACUCUAAAAUCCAAUCUUAGUCAAUUCUUCCAACUUAAAGCUUUCGAAAUGAGAAUUUUCUUUCCAAUUCAACUCUAAACUUCCCGAAAUUCAAUCCCGACCACGCGUACAAGUCACGAUACCUGAAGUGAAGCUGUUCAUGGUCUCAAACCGAAUAACGAUGCGCUAGAGCUCAAAACGACCGGUCGGGUCGUUACAGUGAUGUUCGGCCAACAAAAUGCAUAUAUUUAAUCAUUGUUGUCUCAUAUUCUAGUGCUUUUAAUCAUCUUUUGAGUACUAAUUAUAUUAUUUUAUGCUUAAUAUUAUAUUCUAACUGUGUAGGAAUAAAGCGAUGUGAAGAUAAAAAAAUUUGGAGAAAAAGUAAAUAAAACGCGAAAGAAAACAAAAGGAAAACAAACGAAUUAAAAAGAAGGACAAAAAUGGGGGACAACCUUUGGUAUUUGUCCCCCCAAGUGGAAAACAAGAAAGAAAUGAAAUAUGAUUUAAAGAGGAGGUAGAAAACUCAUUGGAUCCGGUGCCAGUCCAAAGCCUCGUGCUGGCCUGGAUGCGGCGUUGCGAGAUCUUUCCUAUUUCGCUCGGGACAAGGUUAUUUCGGCCCAACACGGUCCCAACUUGUAUAAAAAGGAUUCUAAACCUAAUUUGGAGGAUAUAUAACAUAUUUUGGGAUGAGAAGACGCCACUUUGGAGGGGUGAACACAAUCCACGCUUGGAAUAGGCUUUCCACUAAUUUUUCUUCUCUUCUCUUCCUUUAAUCUCAUAGUUUAUUAGUUCUAGAAUUGUGGGGGCUACAUGAAUGUUGUAUUUGAAUUGUUCUUAUUGCUUUAUCAUAUUGAUUUAUUCAUUCAAUCUUGUACUUAAUUAUUUGAUUGCUUGAUCACCAAUUAAAUACUAUCUACAAAUCUAGGAUUGAACUCGAGAGAGAGAAAAUUUUAGAUUGCAUAUAGAACUGAGUAGAGCAAGAUCUUAAACCUGAGCAUCGAGAACGGAUUUGCUGGUAGGAUAGGGAUAUACCUAAUUGCCUUGCUUGGUUAUUAUACGGAAAUUAUUAAUGUGUUCUUGUUAAUCCUAAUUCCAUAGGAAUAUAGGCUUUACGUUAGCUUAAAUAGGCGGGUAGUACUUCAGGAGAAUACUACGACUACGAGUAAUAUUAACCCUAUCAAUUAAUAAAUCAUAUAAAUUAUUAGACAAUUUAAGUGGAAAACUCAACGGGAUUGUUAACUAACCCACAGCUCUGGAAUAUUUUCUCCCAUUGAAUUCGUCUCUAAGUUUGCAAACUUGUUUUCUGUAAUUGCUUAGUUUGCUACUCUAGAUUAGUUUUAGUUAAAUAUUCAAACUUUAAAAAAAUACUUGAAUAGAUUAUUUGUCUUAGAUUAAUUUAGUAAAUAGUUAAUUACAAGUCCCUGUGGAUACGAUAUCUGGACUUACAAUCCUAUAUUACUUGUACGAACAUGUAUACUUGCACAUGCAUUUUAGGAGUAACAUACAAUCGAGACUUCCUGGGGCCACGUACGAUUUAAUGAAUACAUAAGCUUUACCGAGUACUCUAUGAGGGCGGGUACAAUAUGAUAUAAUAUGCCCCAAAGAGUGGUUGAACAUGAUAUGCGAUGAUAUGUCUUAAAGAGCGAUUGAAUGAUAUUAUAUAUAUAAUGCAUAACCCCAAUGAGUGGCUUGACCUUUUUUUUUCAAAACUUCCAUACAUUUAUGAUUUAUGGUUUCCACAGUAUACAACCCUGUGGCUUGUCUUCAGCACUCAUGUUGAAAUUGUGCAUCCAUAUCUCUUAUGUUAUGCCUUUGGUUUACAUACAUUAUCAUCCUUACACAUUCAGUACAUCUUUCAUACUGACGCCCCUUUCUUUUGGGCAUUCUGUUCAUGCUCACAGGUACAGAUAGGCCUAGUGACGUCCCUCCUCAAUAAAGUGCACGUUUCGGCUAUUGGUUGUCUUACUCCACUUCUCUAGAGUAGAUGUACAGAAGUCGAUAGAUACCAAAAUAUAUGUUUCUCUUGUUUUGGGUAUGUUGGGGGCCUCUCUUGACCAAGUUAUGUAUUGCGGCACUCUUAGAGGCUUACGGACUAGUGUCCGGUGUGUAUGUAAAUGUUGAUUAUGACUCUACUGGUAACAAUUGUCUAUAUAUAUAAAAUGUAAAGUUUCUUCCACCAUCAGUUGUGAAUAUUUUUUUAUGUUGGUAUUAUACUUGGAGGCCUUGUUCGCCUAGAUUUCAUGUUGAAGGGUCUAAGUAUGGACGUUGGUUCACACGGGCCGUCGGGCGUCGUGUGCCGGUUGCACCUCCCGAGGUUAGAGUGUGACAAUUAUCAUGAGGAUGAGUACAUUUUAAGGAUAGUUCAGAAGGUGUGAUAACUAGUGCGACAUGAGCUUAUGAGGAGAUUCUAUUGGAUAACAGCGCGACAUCAUGGCAGUUAAGAAGGAAGAGUAUUAUGGGUUAUUAGAUGAUUUUUUAUGGAUUCAAGCAAAGUGGGGGAGUCUACUAUCGAUGAUUAGGUCAUAUGGACAUGUGUUAUUAUAGAUCCUGGACUAUGAUGCACUUGUGAACUAGCUAUAAUUUGAGAAGGGUGUCAACGAGAAUGAUUUGGGCAAGGAAUUUACUAAAUACAUGGUGUAUUACGCCUUAUUGAUAUAUGGAGUUUAUGGAGUGGCUCAAGUUUGAUAUUCCUUUGUGGAUGUAGUAUGCAGGAUAAAGGAAUUUCUCGGUUGCUUAUUUUGGGGUAUUCAUCUCCUAGCAGAGCACUAGUCGUUUAACAUGUUUGGCUAUGCAUUCAGGACUAGGUCAGAAUGGGUGACUCUCGAGAAUAGUUCUAGUGGAUUCAAGAUCCAAGAUGUGGUACCUAAGGAUUUUUCGGGUUUGUUGUGUGGCUAAGUAUUUGCAUUUUUCUUUGGAUUGUGAAAGAGGCUUGGAAUAAUUCUAUGUCAUUAUUGGUUCUGCGAUGCAGUGUUGGAGAGAUGGAAGAAACAACUUCAGAUUCAUUAAAGGUAUUUUGUGGCAAGCAUUUCAGUUUGAUGUACUUAUGGGUUUGGUAACCUACGAGGUUUGAGGGAUUGAAUUUUGGUGAGUUGCUUAUGUGUAAAUGGGUUUUGACGAGUUCAUGAUGAUUUUGACCAUGACUCGAGGCUGAUGCCUUCUACGGGGUGGAAAGUUUGUUGUGAGUUGUAAUUUUCUCCUAAAUUGAGUUAAGCAGAAGGCUUUUGGUUGAUGGAGUGUUUAUGAGGAGGGCCAUCGUACACUUGAUUCAAAGUUGAUAACAUGAUUCUCGUAUUCUUGUAUUGUGGCAUGAUUGAUGCGGUGAAACGUGUGGGAUUGAGAUUGAAUGGACAAGGUUUCAAUUUAGGUUCGAAAGGAAAGCCAUGAGUUUUGGACAUCAUAAAAGAUUUCAGAUGCUUAAAAGAAUGAUAGCAUUAUCUUGUAUCGCUUAGGAAGGGUGCGUGUUGUAUAAGACGCAUUGUAUAUUGACUUGAUGAUGCUUGACUAGUACUACACAGAUCGCAUGGUUUGUAACCAUUGAUGUUCAUGUUUUGUUACAUGACACAGAAGAUUAUGGGAGUAUUUCUCGUGAGGUAAUUGUGUAUGAGUGACGUAUCUGUCAUUUAAGUGAGAGAGUCAGAGAUCAGGUACGGAGAUUCCUGUAUUCUUGAGGUUUAGAGAGUGGACGUUCUCAGAGGCAGACUAUUCCUUUGAUUGCAGACUAUGAAUGUGUGUUAAGGGUUUGAUAGCUGAUUUUAUGUAUCACGGAUAGGGUCACUAUGAAUAUUUGGAAGAUUAUUUACCUAUUUUGGAAUGAUCGAAACUAGUUUUGGAGCCUAUUGGUAGGCCUAAUGAGUAUGUGUAUUCUACAUUGGGUUGAAUUUGCUUAUUCAGCGUUGCUUUUGCUUGGCGUGUCAUGGGGUGGAACUGAUCUUAGUCGCGCUUUGAUCUAUUUCAUGUGUUACUCACUUAUAUUGUGAUGGCUUAUGAGACUGCUUGAUUCUUACCACGCAUGUUGCGUCCCUAUUAACGCCUUGUGGCGAUAUAUGAGUGAGAUGGCUCUUGUGAUGUUGAUUUGCUUAUUGCACCGUAGAUGUGCUUGCCUUAUUCGUAGCGCGUAUGCUAUCCAUCUCCCCAAGGUUAUGUUUAUGAACUUUGGGCGCUUGUUUUUCAUACGCAUGUGUUUGGUAAGUAUAAAAAUUUUGGCUCAAUGAGCAUUCCCAUGUGGAUUUGUAUGAUGUUGGAUCGGGUUGCACGCUGCAAGGGAGUUAUGUUGGGAUAUUCCUUAUGCUCAUUUAUUGUAUCUUGUUUCUUCCUUGUGGGAUGGAUUCAUAGCAUUGUGCUUUUGUGGUUGUAUCUGUUGAACUUAUUGGAUAGUUCUCUUAUAUCAAUCAAUUCAAGGUAUGUCAUAGUCUAAGCAUUUCCCCGAGCAUGAAUAAUACUCGGUAUACGCACAUGGGCUCAACCCCUCACAUAUGUGCCAUCCAUAGCAUGAAGCAAUCACUAAUAACUCAGGCAACUAGUGCAUUAAUGUCACAACCCAAAACGACCAACCGGUAGUGAAUGCGUCUAACGCAUUUGUUAGGCAAGACGAACACAAUAAAAACGGAUCAUAAUAACAGAAUUAAUGAAAAUAAUAUAAUCCAAAUUCAACUAACAUAAAUAACGACGUCAAUACAUAAAAAUCCACAAGAACUGGUAAUACAUAGUCAUUAGCUCUAACAUAGAAGUACAAUUUUCGAAUACAAAAUGAAAAGACUAUCUGAAUAAAAGCCACAAUACAAAAAUAAAAAGAGACGCCAAAGACUACGGUCAAGACGCACCUCUACCUCGUCUCUCAAACAUAAUCACAGCAACAAAACACAACAAAUCACGGUUCGGUCCAACACCUAAAUCUGCACAAUUAAGUGCAGAGUGUAGUAUGAAUACAACCGACCCCAUAUACUCAACAAGUAUCAUAACUAACCUCGACGAGGUAAUAGAGGCAAUAGUUAUUUGUCACGACCCAAAAACCCACCGCAGGCGUCGUGAUGGCACCUAGUCUCUAAGACUAGGUAAGGCGAUUACUAACAACGAUUAAGCCAAUUUUAACAAUGAUAAUUUGAAACAUAGUUUAAUAUAAAUGCCGAAACAAAAGUGGAAUAAGCCUACACAGCAAUAAUCGUAACAACCUCCCAAGAUUGGUAAUACAGAGUCACGAACUCUAGCUAAGUACAUGGAAAGAUUUCAAAGAUCGAAAUACAAUAUUGUUCAAAUGACAACCGAUAGUACAAUAUAAGGAAAGGAAUCCAAGGGACUACGACGACCAAGAAGCUCUACUUCGAAUCCUCGCGAUCAGCAAGCUAACGAUGCUUGGGUCCGAUAUCUCCAAAAUCAACUCCCCAUCAAACCUCUCAACUAUCCCAAACCUUCAACUUUCCAAUUUUCGUCAAAAUACAACAAAUCAGCCUACGGACCCCCAAAUCCAAAUCCGAACACACACCCAAGUCCAAAAUUACCAUACGAAGCUAUUGGAUGCAUCAAAACACCAUUUCAGAGUUGUCUAUAAUAAAGUCAAACUCCGGUCAAUUCUUUUCACUUAAGCUUCUAAAAUAAGAAUCAUCCUUCCAAAUCCAUCCUGAAUCAUCCAAAAACCAAACUCGACCACACAUGCCAGUCAUAAUACAUAAUACGAAGCUGCCCGAGACCUUUAGCCACCGAAUAGGACAAUACUGUUCAAAUGACAACUGAUAGUACAAUAUAAGGAAAGGACUCCAAGGGUCUAUGACGACCAAGAAGCUCUACCUCAAAUCCAAGCAAUGAACAAGCUAACUCUGCCCGGGUCCAAUAUCUCCAAAAUCCAGUCAAAUCACUCAACCUUCCCAAACUUGCAAAUUUCCAAUUUUCACCAAAAUACAUUAAAUUAAUCUACGGACCUCCAAAUCCAAAUCCAGGCACACGCCCAAGUCCAAAAUCACCAUACGAAGCUAUUCGAAUCAUCAAAACACCAUUUCGGAGUUGUCUACACAAAUGUCAAACUCCGGUCAACUCUUUACACUUAAGUUUCUAAAAUAAGAAUCACCCUUCCAAAUCCAUCCUGAAUCGUCCGAAAACCGAUCUCGACCACUCACAUCAGUCAUUAUACAAAAUACGAUACUGACCGAGACCUUUAGUCACCGAACGGGGUGCUAAUUCUCAAAAUAACCGGUCUGGUCGUUACAUUCUCCCUCUCUUAAACAAAUGUUCGUCCUCGAACGUGCCAAGAACCAUUCCGAAGUCAUGAAAUCACUGGAAUGAACUCACCAUACAUAUACUCGCAGGUAAUCCCGCGUCACCCCAAUCCACAUAGGCCCGACAACACCAUCUCAACUGAAAAUUAUUCCUCCCACCAACACUAAUAAGCCUUAGAACUAAAGUUUUCACCAUCCGAUCAUUUCCCAAAGACCCGAUUCCCACAUCAACACACGGUAUCAACCUCAACUAACUGCAACAACUCAUGCCUACACCCACGAGGUACAACCACACCAUGUAGCACGUCACACAUAUGCCCAUAACGACAUCUCUGACCACCAUAGCUGCCCAUAAUCAAAUCCUGCACCGAAAUUAACCUCAUAGCAGUUAUAACCAUGUUCCAAACCUUCACAACACUAACAACCAUGAAAGUAACAUGAAGAUCCCAUAACCAUUCACUCAAAGCAACAAGUUUAUCUAAUGCCACCUGGGCGUACACCUCGCAAGCUAAAACCCAAAAAGCACAACGCGAAUAAGACUAAAUGUGAAAAGAAAAACACAUAAGAGAAUUAUAAAACAAGCCCGACAUGCACAAUUCCCUAUUAGUACCAUACUACGAAUCAAUUCCACAAGGGAGAAUCAAAACAUAUAAACUAAUCACAAGGAUCUCAUCCUAAUACAACUCCACCAUGGCACGUAGCCCGGUUCAAACAUAUAAAACCACAUGAAAAUGCAAAGAUCCCAUGCUAUGUCCUCGAACGUGCCAAGAACCAUUCCGAAGUCAUCAAAUCACUAAAUGAGCUCACCAUACAUAUACUCGCGGGUGAUUCCUCGUCACGCCAAUCCACAUAGGCCCGACAACACCAUCUCAACUAAAAAUUAUUCCUCCCACCAACACUAAUAAGCCUUAGAACCAAAAUUUUCACCAUUCAAUCAUUUUCCAAAGACUCGAUUCCCACAUCAACACACGGUAUCAGCCUCAACCAACUGUAACAAAUCAUGCCUACACCCACAAGUUACAACCAAAUGAUGUAACACAUCACACAUAUGCCCAUAACGACAUCUUUGACCACCAUAGAUGCCCAUAAUCAAAUCUCGCACCGGUAAUUAACCUCAUAUCAACUAGAACCAUGUUCCAAACCUCCAUAACACUAACAACCAUGAAAAGAACAUGAAGAUCCUAUAACCAUUCACUCAAAACAACAAGUCAUAUCUAACGCCACCUGGGAGUACACCUCGCAAGCUAAAACUCAAAAAGCACAACGUGAAUAAGACUAAAUGUGCAAAGAGAAACACAUGAGAGAAUUAUCAAACAAGUCUGACAUGCACAAUUCCCUAUCAGUACCAUACUACGAAUCAAUUCCACAAUGGAGAAUCAAAAUAUAUAAACUAAUCACAAGGAUCUCAUCCUAAUACAACUCCACCGCGGCACGUAGCCCGGUUCAAGCAUAUAAAACCACAUGAAAAUGUAAGGACCCCAUCCUCAACUACGAUACCAAGGGACUAUGAUGACCAAGCAACUCUACACAAAAAAGGAAAACUUUUAAAGGUAAUUCCCAAAGUAAGAAACAGCAGCAGAUGUAUAAACCAAGACAACAAAAUAAUUAACAGGCUAAUACUGUGAAUGAAUCUAGGAUCCAGACUCAUAGCUGCCCGCUCCCCUUCCCCCCAUAGCAAUCUUUAUAUUAAAGAAGCACAAGGAGGACUGGAGAAAUGUCAGGAAAAACAUAUAUAAACCAAGGAAGGGGCACCAUCAGGGGAGGGGAUUUCUCAUGUUUUGCAUGAGUGUGCUAGUGCACAAUUGACUGACCAUAGGGUGGACUGUCCAACCCCUGUUACCACUGCCUUGAUCUCUGACAAUAAGCAGCUAUACCAAAAUGUUGAUGAAGAUGAACUCUGUGAAAUGAUCAGCUCUGAUGAGGAACAAUCUGUGUAGGAGAAUGAACAAAUAAGAAGACUACUGAAAGAAAAAGCCCAUGAACCUGCAGAUUUCAGUAUCCAGACUCUCAAACCCAAAAAUAAGCAUAGCCAAAAGAAGAGGAACUCUAUGAGGAAACAAAAUGCAGGAAUCAGCAUUAAUGAACCUACUGAUAAUAUGCACCCAAAUAUCACCAACACCCAAGGAGUUAUUGUUAAGUCACAAGUAACACCUACUCAUAUUCCCAGAGACCCUGGUAUGCUCCAACCCCUAAAUGUGCCAAUGAACCAGUCUUACCAGGAGAUACCAUCUCAAAGUUGUCUGGACUCCCCAAAGUCAACAGCAGCAACAACAUAUGAUAAGCAAGUAUGGAGUGAGACCUGCCAGGAAUCAAACCUCAGGGAAGAUGCAAUGAAAAUCUUACCAGCUACAGAGCAUAUCCAUAAAAAUCAAGCAUACAACCCACAACAUUCCUUAGCCUCAGACCCUCAAACCACUAAUACAGGGCAGAAUCAAAAAAAACAAAGACAUCUCACUAUUAGAGCACAUAUCUGGGCAGCAGGAUAAUCUUUUUAUUGCAGAAGCAUCAAAAGACACAAUGAUUUAUCACCUACAAACAGAGAGUGAUGUGAUUACAAAACUAGAGGAACAAAAAAUGAGGUCACAGUGGUGGAGAAGUCCAUGCCAAUUGCAUGUGCCUCAGCUACUGGAUCCCCAAUUCAGAUUCAAUUGAAUGUGCCAUUGAUACCUCCAAACCAGGUAUUACAUGACACCAUUACACACAAGGAACUCCCUAUUGAGAUUCAACAAACUACGCUGGAUAAACAACAUAGGGAAGAUGAAGCUGAUGAGGAAUCAACUGCUGGGAACUUCAAAGAUAUUGCAAGAGAAGGGGACCUGUCACCUAGACUAACAACCAGAAAUGGAAAGAAAGGCAAAAAGCACACCCAAGCUAAGGGAAUACCUCCACCAACAAGAACUCUGCCCAGGAGGGCAGUCUCCACAAAUAGAUAAUGAUCAAGACACUCAUCUGGAACAUAAGGUCUGUUAAUACUCAACAGGCCUUUCAAAAGGUUAUCAACAUGCAAAAGCAACACAGAUUUUGUAUUGUAGCACUGUUAGAACCUUUCCAGAAACAAGGGUUCAUACACUAUUACAGGACAAGACUGGGAAUGGAAACUGCAUUAUCAAAUAUCAAUGGAAAGAUAUGGUUAUUCAUUGAUGCUACUGUGGACUGGGAACUCCUAAUAGACACUGACCAGCAAAUAACAAUCAAAGUUCUCUAUCAAGGAAUUGGCAAGCACAUCAUCAUGACUGUGGUAUAUGUAAAAUUCUCCUCACUUGAAAGAUUAGAGCUAUGGAACAAUUUAUAUUGCCUGGCAUCUGAUAUGGAACUCCCCUGGCUAGUUGGAGGGGACUUUAAUGUAAUUCUUAAUGAAGAAGAGAAGAUUGGAGGACUCCCAGUGUAUCCACCUGAGUAUAAAGAUUUUGCUUUCUAUGUCAACUCUUGUGAAUUAUUUGAUACUGGACACACAGGCAGUCCCUUCACAUGGUGGAAUGGUAGAGCUAAUGAAGAAUGCAUUUUCAAGAGAUUAGACAGAAUUUUUGUCAACCAAAAAUUCAACUCAUUAUUCCCAAGGAUUGAUGUUGAACAUCUCAUAAGGAUUGGGUCUGACCAUGCACCUUUGCUAAUGACAUGUGGGGAAGAUGUUGCUCACUUUAUCAAACCUUUCAGGUUUCUCAAUUUCUGGACUACACAUGAAUCCUUCAAUGCAGUAGUGAAACAAAACUGGAUUGCAGACUUUGUGGAUGACCCUUUCCUUAUGUUCAAAUAAAAAAUGAAAAGACUGAAAGCAGCACUAUCCCAUUAGAGUAAAAUCACCUUUGGGGAUAUUUUCAAGCAACUGACAAUUAGAGAGGAUAUUGUCAGGAUAAAGGAGAUUCUUUUUAAGGAAGAACCAACUACUGAGAACAGAAUUAUACUACAGCAGGCACAAGCUGCACAAAAGAGGUACCUGAGCUUUGAAGAGCAAUAUGGGAAACAAAAGGCAAGCAUGAAAUGGUUUGCUGAAGGAGAUAGAAACACCACUUUCUUCCACAAUCAUGUUAAAGGAAAGAGACAGAAAUUGCAACUCAAAAAGAUUCAGAAUGCCAAAGGAGAUUGGCUUGAUGCCCAAGAGGGUAUUGGUAAUACUGCAACUACAUUCUUUCAGGCACAAUUCACAGAGGAAGGACAACUUACCAACACUGAACUUCUAAAUAAUGUCCCUUCCAUGAUUUCCAAUGCUCAAAAUAGGGAACUUUGUAGAUUCCCAACAAUUGAAGAAGCCAAGAAUGCAGUAACAGCACUGAGUGGGGAUAGUGCAAGUGGGCCAGAUGGCUUCACUAGGCUAUUUUUCCAACACUGCUGGGAUAUUGUGGGAGAGGACAUAUAUAACAUGAUACAACAAUUCUACACAGGAUCACCACUUCCAAAAUCCAUAACACAUACUAACCUAGUGCUAAUUCCUAAGGUUCAGCAAGUACAAACAUUCUCCGACCUAAGACCUAUAAGUCUUAGCAACUUCAUCAAUAAGGUGAUUUCAAGAGUGGUACAUGACAGAAUGGAGAAGAUUCUUCCAUUUCUAAUCUUUCCUAACCAAUCUGGUUUUGUGAAAGGAAGGAGCAUUUUUGAAAAUAUCUUGCUCACCUAGGAGAUAGUCACUGAUAUUAGACUGAGAGACAAGCCAACAAAUGUGGUCAUCAAGCUUGAUAUGGCAAAAGCAUAUGACAGGAUCUCUUGGAAUUAUCUGAUUCAGGUGUUGAGGAAAAUGGGGUUUGAAGAACACUUUCUCAAACUGAUUUGGAACCUAAUUGCUAAUAACUGGUACUCAGUCUUAAUCAACGGGCAAGCCUCAGGAUUCUUUAAAUCUAGCAGGGAGUCAAGAAAGAAGACCCUUUGUCACCAUCAUUGUUCAUACUUUCUACAAAUGUCUUGUCAAGAACUCUGAACAAACUGUUUGAGGAUAAGAAGUUUAUAGGGUUUGGGAUGCCCAAGUGGACAAACCCUUUAAAUCACCUAGCAUAUGCUGAUGAUACAAUAAUACUUUCAUCCUCUGACCCUUACUCCUUAAGGAAAAUUAUGGAGGUACUAAAGCAGUAUGAACAUGCAUCAGGCCAUCUGAUAAAUAAGGCCAAGAGCUCCUACUACAUACAUCACAAAGUGGCAAGGAAAAUAGUGCAGUCUGUUGGCAUUCUUACAUGUUUUCAAAAAGGAAACCUUCCUUUUAAUUACCUUGGUUGCUCAAUAUUCUACAAUAAAAGAAGGAAGGCAUACUACAAUGAUCUUAUCAAGAAAGUAAAAUCAAAAUUACAUUCUUGGAAAGGGAAGUUACUUUCUUUUGGAGGAAAGACAACUCUCAUAACAAAUGUGUUACAAAGCCUAACUACACACAUCCUCUUAGUAAUGGAUCCCCCUAAUAAUGUUCUUGAGCACUUGCAUAAGACUUUUUCAGAUUCUUUUGGAGCACUAAGGAAGAAAGCAGAAGCAGACACUAGAGGAAGUGGAUGAACAUGUGUCUACCUAAGGAGGAAGGAGGAAUAGGGCUAAAGUCCCUAUUUGAUGUCUCCAAAGCUCGAUUUGCAAAGCUAUGGUGGAUAUUCAGAACCAACAAAUCAUUAUGGUCCAAUUUCAUGUGGAACAAAUACUGCAAAAACGAAAUGCCUGUUGUUGUAUAGUUCAGAGAAGGAUCCCAUGUGUGGAGGAAAAUGCUGGAAGCUAGAGAAGAGGUUGAACAUGAAAUUCUCUGGGAACUAAAUAGUGGUAACACAAGUGUUUGGCAUGAAAACUGGACAGGCAUUGGCCCUCUAUAUCAUGUACUCCCCCAAGAAUUCAACAUAAAUGAAAAAUUACAAGAAGUAGAAGAACUGAGGAAUGGUGAUACCUGGGAUGAACUAACACUUGAUCAAAACUUCCCUGCAGAUAUCUCAGAUCACAUCAGGCACAAUGUUUCAUUUCAUCAUACUACAGAAGAAUUGGACACCCCUCAAUGGAUGCCAACCACAACAGGCAAGUUCUAUGUUAACAGUGCAUGGAGGAUUAUGAGACAGAGAGCAACACAUAACCCAGAAUUAUGCAACUUGUGGACAAAAGUUUUACCUUUCAAAAUCUUUUUCUUCCUAUGGAGAUUGUGGAAAAUGAAGAUCCCCACUGAUGACUUGUGGAGAAGAAAUGGAUAUAUCAUUGUAUCUAAAUGCUGGUGUUGCUCACCUCCUAAAGAAGACUCCUACCAAUACCUCUUCUUGAAGAGUGAAACAGUAAACAGAGUGUGGAAAUCUUUCUUGCAACUAGCUGGAAUUAUAAUAAACAUGGUACAAGUCCACCAAGUCGUUAGAGCAUGGUGGAGUGAACCAUGCUGCCCAAAAUUGAAGCCACUAUUUCAAGCAACACCUGCCAUCAUAACUUGGGAAUUAUGGAAGAGGAGAAAUAAAAUGAAACAUGGGGUAGCUGUUUCAGAAAAAAGGGUAAUUCAUGAAGUGAACAAGACUCUAUUCUUUCUGGCAAGAAGCAAAUAUCCCUAGCUAACAAACAUCCCAGUAUUGUGGACAGAUAUGAUCAGAUACUUUGAAAGCUACAAGCCUUAUGUAGUCAGCUGAAGAGUUAUCUGGCAACUGCCCAAUGCAGGCUGGUUCAAAUGCAACUCUCAUGGAGCAUCUAAAGGGAACCCAGGUCCUAGUUCUUAUGGUUACUACAUAAGAGACAGUGCUGGAGAUUUAAUAUAUGCUCAAUCUACAGACAUAGGACAAACAACCAAUAUAGUUGUUGAAGCAAAAGGAAUCCUAUAUGGUCUGAUGUAUUGUGUGGACAAACCGCUCCAUCCUUUAAUCAUGGAAUCUGACUCUUUGGUGAUGAAAAAGAUCAUUAAAAAGGAAUGGGAGUGCCCAUGGACAAUAAGAGCAGAUGUCAAGAAGAUAAAAGAGAUCAAGGGCAACUAUAAUGUCUUGUUUCAGCAUGUGUUCAGAGAAGGAAAUGCAGUUGCUGACCUGCUAGCUAACUUGGUUUUCUCUUCUGCAGGUGAUUCCAUAUUUAACUCAUUCCAUAGUCUGCCCCCAGUAACAAAGACUCUUAUCAACAUGGACAAAUCUCAAAUCCCUAACAUUAGGGUAAGGGUGGCUAAAAAGUUUCCACAACACUGAUUGAUGCAGUCAGUACCAUAGUGCAGAUAUAUGGGAUCACUCCUAACAGACCAUGAAAUUAAAAGAGAUAAGAAUCACCAACUGCUAUGCCUAAUGGUGAAUCUGCAAGCACAAUUCCCACCUUACCUCCUGCACAUGCUAAUAGAGUGUGAAGGUACCAGAGAUAGGAUAUACCCUCUUAGAAACUAAACAGAGGGGUGUUCCCUCAAGAAUCUCAAGCUGGUCUUAAGCAAGAACAGUUGGAAAAUAGAACACAAUCAGCACACACAACAUACUGGAGCACUUUAACCUAUUUUCUUUAGUGUGCAGGUUGAUGUAGCCACAUGACUAUUGGACUUCUGUAACAAGAGCAAUGUUUGGAAGCUCAUGCUCAACUGUUUAUGCACAAAAACAGUCAAAUGCCACUACUCAACAAUUCAGCUUACAGUAUAUAAAAGCUACAUGGUUGUUGGACUCCAGGAACUAAAGGAAGGUUGAACUAUGGCUGAAGAUCAACUGCUUCUGCACAGCAACAGUCAACUGCCAGUAUUCAACAAGGCAACUCUCAAUAUACAAAAGGUGCACACAAUUGGAAGAUAUCAAUACACUGACCAGCUACAUUAUGGGAUUACAGUAUCCAUUAUUCACAUAAGUGUAAGGAUACAGAUAUGAUAUGCUACUUGGUUAGGAUUCAGUAGACCUGAACUGACAAUAUGAGUACAUCUGUUCACACCAAAUGAUAAAAAACUACUGCUUCAUGUUGUUAAACACAGUAUAGUGUUUUAUAAUUUUCUAGUGGUAUUAGUGUGAAUGCAAGCUUAACCUGGAGAUGACAGAACACUAUAUUGGCCUAUAUCACAAAACAUGCAGUACUGCAGUCGGUAUGCAUACUUUUUACAACAUCAAAGGUGGAAAACAUGUUGCCACUACUGCUUCCAUUACAACUGACUCAUUUUUAUCAGCAAACACAUCAUGGAGAUGUCAACAGGGAAUAUCUCUAACUACAAAAGAGGAAAAAAAAAUAGAACAUCAAGCUUCCCAGCUUCUACGCAACAACUAUCAGCUGCCUCUACUCAACAAGACAACUUUCGGUUACAACAGGUGCACACAAUUGGAAGAUAUGACAUGCUACAAAAAUGGAUGCUUGAAUAUUAGUACAGUAUAGUAAUCUAUCAUUGUCCAGUGGUAUUAGUGUGCACGCAUGCUCAAUCUGUAGAUGAGAGAACAUUAUAUUGUACUCAUAUCUCAAGCACACAGUACUGCCACCUUGCUGCAUUCAUCAACUACAUGCAUAAUACCCAUUGAAGAUCCAUUUGAAUACCCAUUGAAGCAACUCUGCUUCUGGAGUAAUGCAAGUCCAAAAUGAAGAUGUCCAAACUGAUCUGCUUUGCAACUACUGGAUUUAAACAUACAUAUUCUGUUGGAUUGCAACAAAAGGCGUCGGGUGAGAGCUUUGGAGGUGCUACAACAAAUUGUUUGCAACUGGUGUGUGCAUUCAUGGUCGUUGGCAACAAUUGGAUGUUACAAAUGACUAGCUUUGUAUUUUACAUCUUCCAUUACGCUACUACUUCAUUAUUUGGUAGCAAUAGCCAUCGGAUCACUUUGUCACAUUAUUCUCUCAUUUCCUUUUUCUUUUUGUAGUUCACUUGAACAUUUUGUAAUUUUGACCCAAUUUGGGAUUUAUUUAAUAUAUUAACUACUAGGUGAAUACACCUAGUAGUAUAUUUGCUAAAAAUAAAACCUUCCCAAACCUGCAAAUUUCCAAUAUUUGCCAAAAUGCAUUAAAUCAACCUACGGACCUCCAAAUCCAAAUCCGUACAUACGCCCAAGUCCAAAAUCACCAUACAAAGCUAUUUGAAUCAUCACAAAACCAUUCCUAAGUCGUCUACACAAAAUUCAAAUUCCGGUCAACUCUUUUCACUUAAGUUUCUAAAACAAGAAUCAUCCUUCCAAAUCCAUCCCGAAUCGUCUGAAAACCAAACUCGGCCACAUAUGCCAUUCAUAAUACAUAAUACGAAGAUGCCCGAGACCUUUAGCCAUCGAACGGGAUGCUAAUCCACAAAACUACCGGUUGGGUCGUUACAUUAUUAAUGAUACUCGCUAAUAACCUACUCAGCUCAUCAAUGCCAUAAGUACAUAAAAAUAAUAUUAUCAAGUCAUAAAUGACGGAUUAAGCCACUUCGGUGUACAAAAAAAAGCAUAACAAGCUCUGUUUCAAUUAACAACCCAGCAUAUAGAGAAGAUUUUCAAAGCAAAGCAUGUAUACAUUCCUGAUCUAGCAUAUAGAGAAGAUAUGCGAAUAAAAUAUGUAUACAUCCUAGGAAAUUGCGAGUAGAGGAGAAAUGCAAUAACCAAAUCAAACACUAGCUAGUUUUCUUCAUACCGUGUAUACACCAUCAAGAGAGAAACAUGAGAGGGUAACCCUAGGAGAUAGAUCCUUAUCCACACGUGGUACGGACAAAUAACGUAUCAUAUAUAAUAACUACACGGAUAACUCAUGUGCUAUCAUAACUUAGAUCGGCAUGGACCACUCACGUGGUAUUAACCUAGUCCAUGUCACACAGAAAGCAUAUACAAGAAUACAUGUACCGAAACAAUGAACAUCAAAUUAUAUACUCAUGGACUGAUAUAUGUGACAUGCUAAGGUGUAGGCACGUGCGAAAUGUACUACCAUAGGUCAAAUCAGGUGAUUACGCCGCCAUAAGAAUAGCAAUUAACAUUUUUGAACAGAAGAUUAACCAACAAAUAAUCUCUAAUAUAAUUCAAUUAGCUCAUAAAGGAGAUACAACAUAAGAAGCACGAUAACAUGAAGUUUAGCAAUCAAUUCAGGGCAUACAAUAGCCUAGUCACUACCCUGAGCGUGGAUAAUGCCCCAGUACACGCACAUGGGCUCAAUUCCCUCACAUGUGUUCCACUCAUAGCACGUAGCCAACACUAAUAACUCAUGCAACUAGUUCCUCAACCAAGUUUAGGUAACAUACUUACCUCAAGCAAGCCAAAUCAAUACUCUAAAAAUCCUUUCCCCCGUAAAUCAACCUUUGGACGGCUCGAACAUAGCCUAAAUAACUUAAUAAUAUCAAUAAAUGUCAUAAGAAACUAACCAAACAAUAAAUCUCUGAUAUUUAACAACUACACAAACUCAACCCAAAAGGUCAACCUCAGGCUCGCACUCUGGAACCCGAAAAAACUUACAAAUUCCGAACCGUCAUUCCAAUAUGAGUCCAACCAUACAAAUUUCAUCCAAUUUUGACUCCAAAUCACGGUUCAAAUCUCGAAUUUACACUUUAGAUAUGUUUUUACCAAAAUCCCCAAUUUUAUCUCAUACAAACACCAACCAAAAGUCAAAAUCAAGGAUGAAACCAUGAAUAAUAACCAAAUCCGAGUCAAAAACUACUUACCCCAAAGAAAUUUAUGAAAUUUAACUCAAAAAUCGCCCAAAUCUAAGCUCCCAAUCUCAAAAUGUGAUAAAAUAACAAACCCCUCAAAAUAAAUAUGUUAUGCCCAGCAAUUUCACUUUUGCGGGAAAGAAUGCCGCUUAUGCGGUACCGGAUCUAUGGAAAAACCAUCCACAGAUGCGGAAGUCACUUACUAUUUGACCUUGCGCUUCUGCGGACUCCACAUCACAGAAGCGCAUCUGCUUUUGCAGAAAAUCUCCGCAUCUCCGGACUUCCCCUACCAGGAAAAAUCCCGCAUGUGCAUAUCCAAGGCCGUAUCUACGGCUUCGCAUCUGCGGCCAAAUUUUUGCAAAUGCGAAAACAUUAGAACUCAACAAACUACAACAAUGCCAACUCAAUCCAAAAUGAUACGAAAUCCAUCCAAAACACACCUGAGGCCUCCAGGACCCCAUCUAAUCACACUAACAUGUCUUAAAAAACAACACGAAACUACUCAAGGCCGCAAAUCACACAAAAUCACAUCAAACUGAUGAAUCGCACCUCAUUUCAAACUUAAUGAACUAAUCCAAAUUUCCAAAUUCAAAACUUACACCGAACAUGCCUAAACAACUUGGAAUGACCUUAAAUUUUGCACACAAGUCCCAAAUGACAUAACGGAACUAUUCCAAAUCUCACAACAGCAAUAUAAACCUGAUAUCAAUAAAGUCAACUCCCGAUCAAACCUAUGAAUCUUCCAAACCUUAAACAUCCCAACUUUCGCCAAAAAGAGCCAAAUCAAUCUAGGAACCUCCAAAUCCGGACAUAUGCCUAUGUCUAGAAUCACCAUAUGAACCUAUUAGAAUCAUCAAAUGCCAAUUCGACACUGUCUACACAUAAGUCAAAGCUCGGUCAACUCUUAUAACUUAAGCUUCCAAGAAUAAAAUCAAAUGUUCCAACUCUCUCUGAAAUCUUCCAGGGACCAAACCAACAAACCCCGCAACUCACGAAACAUAAAGUGAACAUAGAAAAGGCAAUAAAUAGCGUAACAGGGCUAAAAUAGAUAAAAUAAUCCGUCGGGUCAUUACAUUCUCCCCCUCUUAAAUAAACGUUCGUCCUCAAACUAUUAUAGAAUCAUACCUGAAGUGCCGAAAAGGUGAGGAUAUCUGCCUAGCAUAUCAUGCUCGGUCUCCCAAGUUGCUCCUCGACCGGUUGACCCCUCCACUGAACCUUCACCGAAGCAAUAUUCUUUGACCUCAGUUUGCAAACCUACCUAUCCAAAAUGGACAUUAUCUCCUCGUCAUAAGUCAAAUCCUUGUCUAAUUGCACCAAGAUGAAAUCUAACACAUACGACAGGUCCUCAUAGUACUUCCGGAGCAUAGAAUCAUGAAACACUAGAUGAACUCCAGAUAGACUAGGUGACAAGGCAAGUCUAUAAGCCACCUCACCAACCCUAUCCAAGACCUCACAUGUGAACCUCAACUUGGGCUUCUUCUUGAACCUCAUCAUACCCUUCAUGGGCGAAACUCUAAGUAGAACCUUCUCACCCACCAUGUAUGCCACAUCACAAGCCUUCCUAUCAACAUAACUCUUCUCUGUGGACUGUGAUGUACGAAGCCACUCCUGAAUCAAUUUCACAUUCUCCAAAGCAUCACAAACUAGAUCAGUGCCCAACAACCUAGUCUCCCCAUGCUCAAGCCAACCAACCAGAGAAUGACAUUGCCUCCUAUAUAAGGCCUCAUACGGGGCCAUUUGGAUACCUGACUAGUAGUUGUUGUUGUAGAAGAACUCUACUAACAAUAAAAACGGAUCCCAUUGACCCCCAAAAUAAAUGACAUAUGCUCGCAACAUGUCCUCCAAGAGCUGAAUAGUACGCUCAGACUGCCCAUCCAUUUGGGGAUGGAAAGAUGUACUCAGCUCGACCUGUGUGCCCAACUCACGUUGCACUGCUUUCCAAAAAUAUGAUGUGAACUGAGUGCCUUAAUCAGAGAUAAUUGACAUAGUCACACCAUGAAGGUGAACAAUCUCUCAAAGAAAAAUCCGAACCAGCUGCUCUGAAAAGUAGGUAAUCAUGACUGGAAUGAAGUGUGCAGACUUGGUCAGCCUGUCCAUAAUGACUCACACCGCAUCAAAUCUCCUUAAAGUCCAUGGAAGCCCAGCUAAAAAAUCCAUGGUGAUACGCUCCCACUUCCACUCUGGUAUAUCUAAUCUUUGAAGCAAACCACCCAUUCUCUAAUGCUCAUACUUUACCUGCUGACAGUUCAAACACCGAGCAACAUACUCAUCAAUAUCCUUUUUCAUCUUCCGCCACCAAUAAUGUUGCCUCAAAUAACGAAAUAUCUUCACGGAACCCGGAUGAAUGGAAUACUACAAACUAUGGGCCUCCUCAAGUAUCAACUUUCGCAACUUACCCCCAUUAGGCACACAAAUAUGGCCUCGAAGCCAUAAUACCCCAUUAUCACCAAUAGUAACCUCCUUAGCAUCCCUGUGCUGCACCGAAGGACAAGCAAGUGGAGAUCAUCACACUGACGUGCCUUGAUGUGCUCAAGAAAGAAUGACUGUGAUACAACACAAGCAAGAACCCUACUAGGCUCCGAAAUAUCCAACCCCACGAAUAAGUUUGCCAAAGCCUGAACAUCAAAAGCUAACGGUCUCUCUCUGACUUGGAUAAAAUCAAGACUUCUCAUGCUCUCCGCCUUCCUACUCAAAUCAUCAUCCACCACAUUGGCCUUCCCCAGAUGAUAAAGAAUGAUGAUAUCAUAGUUUGUUAAAAGCUCUAACUACCUUUGUUGCCUCAAGUUCAAAUCCUUUAGCUUGAAUAGAUGCUGGAGACUUAUAUGAUACGUGAAAACCUCACAAUACACACUAUAAAGAUAGUGUCGCCAAAUCUUGAGCAUGUAAACAAUGGUUGCUAACUCCAAAUUGUGCACUGGUUAGUUCUUCUCAUGGGGCUUCAAUUGAUAUGAAGCAUAAACAAUCACUCUACCCUUUUGCAUCAACACACACCCAAUUCCAACCCGUGAAGUAUCACAAUAGACUGUAUAAGAACCUGAUCCCGAAGCCAAAACUAGAACUAAGUUGUAGUCAAGGCAGUCUUGAGGUUCUAAAAGCUCUCCUCAUACUCAUCAGAUCACCUGAAUGGGGUACCCUUCUGCUUCAACCUAGUUAAUAGGGAUGCAAUAGAUGAAAACCCCUCCACAAAAUGGUGAUAAUACCAACCAACCCAAGGAAUAUCUGGAUCACGGUAGUAGUAGAAGAUUUGGGCCAACUCUGAAUUGCCUCAAUAUUCUUCAUAUCCAUCCUAAUCCCCUCACUAGACACCACAUGACCAAAGAAUGCCACCGAGUCUAACCAGAACUCACAUUUGGAGAAUUUAGAAUAUAGCUUCCUCCCUCAAGGAAAGGAGCACGAUCCUCAAGUGUUGCUCAUGGUCCUCUCGGCUGCGAGAAUACACCAAUAUAUCAUCAAUGAACACAAUGACUAAGGAAUGCAGAUAAGGCUGAAAUAUAUUGUUCAUCAAAUGUGUGAAUGUUUUUAGGGCAUUGGUCAGCCCAAAAGACAUCACCAAGAACUCAUAAGGCCCAUAACGGGUCCUUAAAGUCAUCUUAGGAAUAUCUUAAGCCCUUAUCUUUAACUGAUUAUACCCUGAUCUCAAGACAAUCUUCACCAAUACCCUAGAACCUUGAAACUAAUCAAACAAAUCAUCAGUAUGCGAUAAUAGAUACUUGUUCUUGAUAGUAACCUUGUUCAACUAUAUGUAGUCAAUGCACAUCCAUAUAAAACCAUCUUUCUUCUUCAAAAAUAGUACCAAUGCACCCCAAGGUGACACACUGGGCCAGAUGAAACUCGUAUCAAGAAAUUCCUAUAACUGAUCCUUCAAUUCCUUCAACUCCACCGGUGACAUGUGAUAUGGUAAAAUAUAGACGGGAUGAGUGCCCAGCACCAAACCAAUACCAAAAUCAAUAUCCCUAUCAGAUGGCAUGCCCGACAGGUCUAUAGGAAAUACAUCUAAGAACUCCCUCACUACUGGAACUGACUCAACAGUAGGAGUAUUAGCACUAACACCUCUCAUGAAGGUCAAAUACGCCAAACACCCCUUCCCAACCAUCCAUUGAGCCUUCAAAUAUUAAAUUACUCUAUUGUGAGUGUGAAUAAGAGAACCUCUCCACUCCAACCUAGGCAACCCCGGCACAUCCAACGUCACGGUCUUAGCGUGACAAUCAAGAAUAGCAUGGUACGGAGAUAGCCAAUACAUACCCAAAAUCACCUCAAAAUCAACCAUACUGAAUAAUAAAAGAUCGACCCUAGUCUCAUAACCCCUAAUGAUAACAACACAAAACCAAUAUGCACGAUCCACCACAAUAGAAUCACCUACCGAUUUAGAUAUAUGAACAGGAAUAUCAAGGGAAUCAUGAGGCAUAAAAUAACGAGCAAAAUAUGAUGAAACAUAAGAAUAAGUGGAACCAGGGUCAAAUAACACUGAAGCAUCCCUGUGGCACAUUGAAACAGUACCUGUGAUCACGGCGUCAGAAGCAGCUACCUCUGGCCUAGCGGGAAAUGCAUAGCAAUUGGCUUGUCCCCCACCUAACUAACCUCCCCCUCUAGGGAGACCUCAAACCGACUCGGUCCCACCCCUAACUAGUUGUGCGGGUGGUGUAGCUACUGAUGCUAGAACUAUAUAAUGUGUGCUCUUCUGUGGUUCACUACUUAGAAGUCUGGGGCAAUCCUUCUUGAGAUGACUUAAGUCUCCACACUCGAAACAAUCCCUCCUCUAACGAGGAUGUUGACCCUGCGACUGACCUUGAUAACCCGAAUAGCUGCUCGUGGAACCCUAAGCAGACAAGCAAUGUAUGAGUUGUGUCUAACUGAUAAACCACGGGGAAUAUGACGAGUUGCCUGAGCAGGCCUAAAAGGACGACCUAUGUUGUAAUGUGACUGGACUCCAGAUGAGGCACUACCAAUACCACCUGAACCACGGGGCCUCUUUACCUCAUUCUCUUCUCUCUCAAGCCUCCGAACAUGCUCCAAGCGUCUAGCAAUCUCAAUCACCUGGUCAAAUCUAGAAUCCAUCUCAGACACUAGAGUCAUACCAUAUCGAAGACAAUAAAUUAGGCCAUCAAUGAACCUAAUGAUCCUCUCCCUCUCAGUAGGGACCAAAAACACUGCAUGACAUGCCAACUCCAUAAAUCUCAUCUCGUACUGAGUCACAAUCAUUCCCUCCUAGCAUAUAUGCUCAAACUCCCUACGCAACUUCUCUCUGCGAGUCUGUGGGGAAAACUUCUCUAAGAAGAGAACUGAGAACUGAUGCCAUGUGAGUGGUGCUGCACCAGCUGGUAUACCUAGCCUUCCACCACAUGUAGGCUAGCCCUGUCAGCUAAAAAGUAGUAAAGUCAACUCCAUUGGAGUCCUAAAGACCCGCAGUGCGAAGAAUCCGAUACCACAGAUCAAGAAAACUCUGAGCAUCCUAUGACUCUCUUCCACUGAACUGGGCAGUAUGAAGCCUCUGAAAUCACUCUAACCUCUUCUGCUCCUCAUCAGUCAAAGAUGUUCCAACCUCGGUCCUAAGCAACAACUGGCUAAACUGGCAAAACCCCUAGUGUCUAAUAACCCUGAGCUUGUUGCUCUAGUGUACGGGCAGCAGGAGUCUGGGCUCCUUACCCAUCCUGAGAAUUAGUUGGUGCAACUGUUAUCAUGCCCGCCUGAGCCAAGCUCGUAUGCACACUCAAGAUCUGGGCUAAAAUCUCCUAAAGACAAGGCAUAGCAACUGGUACUGUCAAUGUCUGAUUUGGUCCAUUGGCUCAACAAUAUCUGAAACCUGCUCCUCCACUAGAGAAAUUGGUGGCUCCACAGGUGCUGCUCUAGCUGUAGCACGGGCCCCACCUCGGCCUCUAACUCGGCCAGGCCUCUCGUGUCCCUACUUGGAAGUGUUGUGCCUGCCCAUCUGAUCUGGCUGAAUGUGUCUUCACCAUCUAUGAGAUAAUAAAAAAGUAAAAGUUCAAACUUCAAAAAUAACAAAUCCACACGACAAGAAUAAAACAAAGCAAAAAUUUUCCUAACAGUUCGGUAGCCUCUCAAAGAUACGUACAAACGUCUCUGUAUCGAUCUGCAAGACUAUACUAAACUUUCUCAUAACCCAUAGAACCUAUGAACUUAGGGCUCUAAUACCAGAUUCGUUGACCCAAAACCACAAAUCGGUAUCUUCGACAAACCUCAAGCGGGACGAGUCAAUAGCAGAUGCAGAUUUUAUUUAAUAGCUGCGCUUACUAGUCGUGAUGACGCCUAACACACUUGCUAGGCAAGCCAAACACAACAAAAAAGGAUCCUAAUAACAUAAUUAAUGAAAAUAAUAUAAAUCUAAAGCCAGCUGACAUAGAUAACGGCAUCAAUACAUAAAAGUCCCUUAGAAUUGGUAAUACAGAUUCAUGAGCUCUAACAUAAAAGUACAAGUCUAGAAUACGAAAUGAAAAGAUUGUCUGAAUGAAAGCCACAAUACAAAAAUAACAAAAGACGCCAAAGACUGAAGUCGAGAUGCAACUCUACUUUGUCUCUCGAAGAUAAUCACAGCAAUAAAACACAACUACUCACGGCUCGGUCCAACACCUGGAUCUGCACAAUUAAGUGCAGAGUAUAGUAUGAGUACAACCGACCUCAUGUACUCAGCAAGUAUCAUAACUAAACUCGGCGAGGUAAUAGAGGCAAGAAUUAUUAAUGAUAUUCACUAAUGACUUACUAGUUCAUCAAUUCCACAAGAAUACAACAAUAAUAUUAUCAAGUCAUAAAUUACAGAUAAAGCCACCUCAAUGUACAAAAAUAAUGUAACAUGCUCUAUUUCAGUUAACAACCCAGCAUAUAGAGAAGAUAUGAAAAACAAGGUAUGAAUACAUUUCUGAUCUAGCAUAUAGAGAAGAUAUGCGAAUAAAAUAUGUAUACAUCCAAGGAAAUUGUGAGUAGAGAAGAAAUGCAACAACCAAAUCAAACACUGGCCAGUUUUUAUCAUAUCGCGUGUACACCAUCAAGAGAGAAACAUGAGAAGGUAACCCUAGGGGGAUGGAUCCUUAUCCACACGCGGCACAAAAAACUCACGUGCCAUAUAUAACAACUACACGAACAACUCACGUGCUAACAUAACUCAAAUACGCAUGGACCACUCACGUGUAUCAAUCUAGUCUAUAUCACACAGAAAGCAUAUACAAGGAUACAUGUACAGGAACAAUGGAUAUCAAAUUAUAUACUCAUGGACUGAUGAUAAGUGAGACGUUAAGGUGUAGGCAUGUGCGAAGUGUACUACCAUAGUUCAAAUCAGGCGAUUACACCACAAGAAUAGCAGUUAACAUGUUUGAACAAAAGAUAAACCGACAAAUAAUCUUUAACAUGAUUCAAUUAGUUCACAGAGGAGAUACAACAUAAUAAACAUUAUAAUAGGAAGUUUAGCAAUCAAUUCAGGGCAUAUAAUAGCCUAGUCACUACCUCGAGCAUGGAUAAUAUCCUGGUGCACGCACAUGGGUUCAAUCUCCUCACAUGUAUGCCACUUAUAAUGCGUAGCCAACACUAAUAACUCAGGAAACUAAUGCCUCAACCAAGUUUAGGUAAGAUACUUACCUCAAUCAAGCUAAAUCAAUACUUUAUAAAUCCCUUCCCGUGUUAAUUAACCUCCGGACGGCUCGAAUCUAGCCAAAAUAACUUAAUAAUAUCAAUAAAAGCCAUAGGAAACAACCCCAAAUAAUAAAGACUAUACAAAGUCAACCCAAAAGGUCAACCUCGUGAAUGGAAAAAAAACACUUCCGCACAAAAACCAACUGGCAAAGAAUGAAAAAUGCUCUCCGUACAAGAGACACGCCGCUACAGUAACGGGUGGUGGUCUUAUGGCCACUGCUUCACCGUCCGGUGGUGGAAAACCACCAGACCUAUCUCAAAAGAUGCGUCUUGAUAAGGCGAACACACCCCCAAUAAGUUUCAGUUCAAGAUUCAAAAUGAGCUGCUCCACAUCUCAAAAACGGAUCCACGAUUACUGUAGCAAACAGUCAACUGGGUAGCUAAUUGAUUUCCUAGCUCGAUUUUGUGUUACACCCUAACAACAGUACCCAAAACAAUACCAAACAAGAAUCAUAUGCUGGUCGUUUGAAUCACACACAAAACGCAACAAAUCUAACAAAGACAAUUCUCAAGAAAACUGAAGUUGUUCAUGGGUGGUUAGACCGGCCAUGUUGUAUGGGGCUGAGUGUUGGCCCGUUAAGAAUUCACAUAUUCAGAAGAUGAAAGUAGCAGAAAUGAGGAUCUUGAAGUGGAUGUGCGGGCACACUAGGAUAGAUAAGAUAAGGAAUGAUGUUAUUCGGGAGAAGGUGCACGUGGCUCCCAUUGAUGACAAGAUGCGGGAAGCAAGCUUAGAUUGUUCGGACAUGUUCAAAGGAGAAGCCCAGAUGCUCCGGUAUGGAGGUGUGAGCGGCUGGUUAUGAAGGGCAUGAGAAGAGGUAGAGGGCGGCCUAAGAAGUAUUGGGGAGAGGUGAUCAGACAGGAUAUGGCGAGGCUCCAGAUUUCCGAGGACAUGACACUUUAUAGGAAGAUGUGGAGGUCGAGUAUUAGAGUUGUAGGUUAGGAUGUAGUUGAGUCUUGACUUACUUCGUACCAUUGUGGGACUAGCCACGUAGGGUUUUUAUCUAGGAUAGCUAGUGAUAAUAUUGUAUUUUACUACUUCGUUUUUCAGUGCAUGUCCUAUUUACUAGCUAUCAUUUUUGCUUUGCAUCUUUCUUCUGCAUUUCAUGGUGUUCCUAUUUUUUCUAUGAUUGUUGUGGUGAUACUAAUAUUGUCUCCUCUUGUCGUUUUGUCUUUUUGUUUUAUUGAGCCGAGGGUCUUUCGAAAACAGCCUCUCUACUCCUUUGGGGUAGGGAUAAGGUCUGCGUACACACUACCCUCCCCAGACCCCAUUAGUGGGAUUAUACUGGGUUGUUGUUGUUGUUGUUCAUGGGAUCCUAACCCUGCAGUUUACAAUGGAAGAAAGGGAAGAAUUUGCUAAGGAAGAAGGAUUACAUCAAGCUAUUGUGAUCAAACUCUCUAAUGGCGCACCCAAUCUGGAAAUCUUAAGAACAUUACUGCCCAAAUUCUUUGGUGUGAAAGGUAACAGUUUACUAGGUUUACUCGCACAAAGACAACUUUUGUUGCGUCUUGAUCAAUAUGAAGAUUUUGUCAUUGUACUAGCACGUAGUGUGAAUUAUUUCUCAUACAAUGGCAAGGAAUACCAAGUUAGGAUUUUUCCAUGGAGUAUUGGUUUCAAUCCUAAUGAGGAAACAUCAAUGGCGGCAGUUUGGAUUUCCUUACCAAGCCUGUCACCAGAUUUGUUUGCUCGUCGUUCGUUACUGUCCAUAGCUGCUACUGUUGGGAGGCCAAUCGCAGUGGAUAAGGUGACGUAAGUGAGGUCGAGACCUAGUACGGCUAGAGUUAGGGUGAUUGUGGACUUGUUGGACAAGCUUCCGAACAAAAUUAAAAUUCAAAGUAUCGACAACAAGACUGGAAAAACUAUUGAAGUUUUGCAGGAGGUGGUGUAUGAUAAUUUGUCGUUAUAUUGUUCUCAUUGUAAGCACCAAGGCCACGAUGAUAGUUCAUGUCGACAGCUCGUUUCCAAAUCUCAUGAGAAUGAUCAGGUUGAUUAAGGUGUUGGUGAUAAGUAUAAUGGUGAUUUGAGGCAACUGCUAAACGAAAUGAGAGGUCUGAUAGAAGGGGAAAAAACAGUUGGAGCUCAAGUUGACUCUACUGGAAAUGAGGCAGUCACAACUAUGGAUGCUCAUGUCUUAAACGUGCCUCAUGAGAGUCAUGUACAAGAUUUGUUUGGUGCAAUACAAAGAAUCAACAGAUGUCAUGGGUGUGGAUAUGCAAAAUAAAAAAUUUGGAGAAAAAGAAUUGCAGAGGAGAUUGGAGGCUGCUCAAGGUCUAGGUGAGGCUGGGCGAAACUAUGGGGGUGUAGGUGUUGAGAAGGUCAAGAAAAAUCAAUUUGGAGCUGAUAAGAGGUUGAAGGAUAUUCCUGCUUCCACUAAUUUUGCAAGGAUGUAUACAACUACUUCUACCGCUUUAACGAAUGUUGCUGAUCGAUCUGCCACUUCAAACAAGCAUGCUGUGAUUCAACAAAUUGCUGGGGCAUCUAGGGAAAAGGAGCCUGCUAAUGAUCCUGGUUUCAACUGUUUUCCAGCUAAAAGUACAGCUGUGGAAUCAGCCUUACAAAAUAACAGUGAUGUGGACAAGGGUAGCAAUCAUGCUGAAGUGAAAAUACCAACUGUGGGAAAGGAGCAAAUACCUGCGCAUGAAUUGCUAAACUUAGGCAAAACUAGUGUAGCACCUUCAGAAAUAGGUGCACACUUCAAUGCACCUGGACAGAUUCAAUCAUCUUUACCAUUCCAUGUUUCAACUGUGCAGGCUGGAUGUCAUUCUCGUCUUACAGCAGAUGCAUUAGGUGAUCAUGUAGAUGUUAUGGAAUUGGAGUAUGCAACAUCUACAAAUCCUAAGGAAGUACUCAGUAGGGCUGUGCUUUCAAAUCUGGAAACUACUGAUGAAGUACAAACAGCUAGUGACCGUGCAAACACUGAGGUAAUUGAACCUAAUGUCACUUUGGAUGUUGAGGAAGCAAAUUGUGAAGCUUUCAAAGGGUCUAGCAUGGGGAAUGUAGAGGCUAAACAAGUACAACGCUCAACAGAAAAGGCGCACGCAGCAAAUAGGGUUUUGAAACAUAUUGGUUCUUUGAAAACAUAUGUGGCUAAAAAUUCUCCUACAGCUGUUCAUUCAAUUUCAAAGGAUGUUGGGCACUUUCUUGAAAUUGCAACGCAUUCAUAAACUUCAAAAAGCAAAUCAGAUACAAUGACUAACAACUGGACAGGGGUGACUAGAUCACCUAACAAUAAGAAAUCACCAGGCCUUCAAAUGCAGAUUGUACCAUCAGCAGUCAUUGGGGUUUCAAACUAUUUUGAUGUUUUGUCAUGCGAGGGUGAGGAUGUUGUGAUAGAGUCUGAAAUUGAGAAGAAACAGCUAGAUGAUGCGACACGACCUGUAACAGAACUGAAUAGCUCUCCACGAAGUGAUAAGAAGCAGAAUAAUACAAAGGACAUAAGUGCUCGACUUGAGAUCGUAACUGUUAACGAUCACACUCUUGGCACAACUCAAUCAACUGCUACAGCAAGACCAAUAAUAAAAAUUUCAAAUCUGGAGCUAGCUAAAAUGGUAAAAGAUGCCCAAGCAGCUAUGAUGCUGAACACAACAACAAUGAUUAAAGCACCUCUAGUAACACUAAAUACUUCAGUCUUUGAGGUACCCUCCCAAACAAUGGAGUCUUUUGGUGAACAUGCAGACGAUUCUGGACAGCAAAUACUUUCUACGGCCAACAAUCAGCAGGCAAACACAGGAAUGAUCUCGCUCUCAGAAGCAUCGACAAAUGAUUUAAGAGACACUAAAGAGCACCAUGGAGCGACAAAUGCAUUGACUGUUAAUCGGAGAACUUGGGCAGACCAAGCAGAAGAGGAAGACGACUAUUAUGCAGACAUGUUUCAUGAAGCUACUGAAGAAGAGGCAGUCCAGUUUACAACAACUCCUCCUUCAAAGGAAGAGGCAGCAAAUGUGCUAAGCGUGCAAGUUUCUACUCCAACAUAUGUUGCUCCAACAAAGAGAGGUUUGAGCCCAAAUGCUGCUGUAUUUGUACCUUCUGGACAGCAUAGCUUGACUCCGACAAACAUCCUCCGAGCUCUGGUAACUCAUGACAUGGAUACUUUAAAGGCUCUUGACAAUUCGAGGACCGAAAGAGGAGCUCUAGUACCAGCACACAAUCCUAUUGACGCUUUUGGCGUGGAAAUGGGUUGAGAUUGGUAUGAAGAAGGGGAAGAGAAAGAACUACUAGAUGUUUGCUUUAAAAAUGUAGCUAGGGAGGGAGACCUAUCACCCAGGAAAAUGAGAAGUGGAUCAAACAAAAAGAAGGCACAUGAAAGACAACAUAGUUGGGAUUGCAAAGCAACACAAGAGGUUGUCAUUAGGAAAGCACCAAUGAGAACUGCAAAGCAAAAGGCGAGUGUCCCUACAACCUCUACAAAGUCAAAUAAAUCAAAAAAGAAAUGAAAAAGUUUGAAGAAUAUUUGAAGACAGUGGAAGAAGAAGCCAAUGAGUUACAAAUUGAAGCGUGCACAAGGUUGAAGAAAGAGGGGCAAGACUCAAUAUUUUACCUUGUUUUAUUUUAUCAUUUUUUAAGUAUCAUCAUUUGUAAUAUCAUCAUAGGGUAUGUUAUAAACUCUGUGAUGAUCAUAGAGUAUUUAGUUCUUUCUAGUUCGUAUUUUCUUCAUGCUUGCUAGUAGAUGAGGUUUAUUAUGCCUCAAUAGGAUUUGUAAGGUAAGGUCUAGCACAGUAUCUGUGUGCUAUAUUCCUAUGCCUUUGGGAAAAUCUAAGCGGCUAUGAGAUUAUAUGCCCUCGUGAGACUUCUGCCGGUAGCUACACCAUGAUCCUCUACAUGAUGCUGUCAUCUUAAGGCAAUGGAGGCGCAGAGGAGUAAUUAUAUAGCCAAGGCAUAGAGGCAACACUAUUGUAGCUAGCCCCCUUACUUGUACUUUUCCGUUGUGGUUUCUUUUUUUCUUUUAUUAUUAAUAAAAUAGCUACUAGGCAUGCCUAGUAGUAUAAUUUGUCAAAAAAAAAGGUCAAUCCCGGGCUCGCACUCCGGAACCCGACAAAACUCAAAAAUUUCGAAUACACAUUCCAAUACAAGUCCAAUCAUACAAGUUUCAUCCAAUUACGACUCCAAAUCGGGGUUCAAAUCUCAAAUUUACACUUUAGAUAAGUUUUUACCAAAAUUUCCAAUUUUCUCCCAUAGAAACACCAAUCAAAAGCCAAAAUCAAGGAUGGAAUCAUGAAUAAUAACUAAAUCUGAGUCAAAAAUACUUACCCUAAAAGAAAGAUGUGAAAAUCUCCUCCAAAAUCGCCCAAAUCCGAGCUCUUAAUCUCAAAAUAUGAUAAAAUAAUCAAACCCUCAAAAUAAAUAUGUCCUGCCUAGCAAUUCUGCUUUUGCGAAUAAAAUACCGCUUCUGCGGAAAAACCAUCGUAGAUGCAAAAGUCAAUUACUUCCUGACCUUCCAUUUCUGCGGACUCCAUAUCGCAAAAGCGUAGCCGCUUUUGCGAAACAUCUCUGUAUCUACGAACUCCACUGACAGGACAAAUCCCGUAUGUGCGCAUCCAAGGCCGCAUCUGCGACCAAAUUUCCGCAGAUGCGAAAACACAAGAACUCAACAAAUUACAGCAAUGCCAACUCAAUCCAAAAUGAUUUGAAAUACAGCCAAAACACACCUGAGGACCCCUUCUAAUCACACCAACGAGUCUUAAAACACAACACAAACCUACUCGAGGCUACAAAUCACACAAAAUCACAUCAAAACCACGAUUCGCACCUCAAUUCAAACUUAAUGAACUAAUCAAAACUUCUAAAUUCAAAACUUAUGUCGAACAUGCCUAAACAACUCGGAAUGACCUCAAAUUUUACGCACAAGUCCUAAAUGACAUAACGGACCUUUCCAACUCUCAAAACAACAAUAUGAACCCGAUAUUAAUAAAGUCAACUUUCGGUCAAACCUAUAAAUCUUCCAAACCUUCAACUUCCCAACUUUUGCAAAAAAUAUCCAAAUCAACCUAGGAAUCUCCAAAUCCAAAUCCGGACAUACAGCUAAGUCCAAAAUUACCAUAUGAACCUAUUAGAAUUAUCAAAAUGCCAAUCCGAGAUCGGUUACACAUAAGUCAAACCUUGGUCAACUCAUAUAACUUAAGCUUUCCAUAAUGAAAUCAAGUGUUACAACUCCUUCCAAAACCUUCCUGGGACCAAACCAACCCUGCAAGUAAUGAAACAUAAAGUGAAAAUAGAAAAGGCAAUAAAUAGGGGAACGGGGCUAAAAUACAUAAAAUGACCAGUCGGGUCGUUACACUCAACCAAAUUUAGAUAAGAUAUUUACCACAAGCAAACCAAAUCCAUACUCUAUGAAUACCUUCUUGCACGAAUCGACCACCGAAUAGCUUGAAUCUAGCCAAAAGCAAUUCGAAAACAUCAAUUAAUACCAUAGGAAUCAAAUCCAAAUGAUAAAAGUCGAAUUUUUAAUCAAAUACUCAAAGUCAACCAAAACGUCAACCUGGGAUCGCACCUCGGAACUUGAAAACACCCAUAAAUUCUGACAACUCAUUCGAAUACGAGCCCAACUAUACAAGUUUCAUCUAAAUCCGACUCCGAACAGAGGUGGAGUCAAAAUUUGAACCUUAUGGGUUCAAGAUUGUAAUUCUUUUAAGUUAUUGGAUUCUAAAUUAAUAAUUUAUACAUAUCCAAUAAAUUUCUUAAGAUAAAUAUAAUAUUUAAAUAAAGGCUACAAGGUUCGGUCGAACCCGUAUCCCACACUAUUGCUCCGCCCCUGACUCCGAAUUAAUGUUCAAAACUCAAGUAUUCACUUUAGAAAAGUUUUGCCAACCCUCCUCCCCCCCCCCCCAAUUUCUCUUUUAGAUUCGCUAAUCAAAUGCUAAAAUCAAGUAUAGAAUCAUGACUAAUAGUCAAAAUUGAGUCAAGAACACUUACCCCAAUCCGAGCUCCCAAUCUCAAAAUAUGGUAAAAUGAACAAAACCCUCGAAAUAUAAGCUUCUGUCCAGGAUUUCUGCUUUUGCGAACCAAUUGUCGCUUUUGUGACAUUACAUCUGCAAACAACACAUCGUAGAUGCGAAACACACUUAACCUCUGCCUCAUCGCUUCUGUGCGACAAAAUCUGCAUCUCUAGUACCGCAGGUGCGCUCCUCAUGCGCCCUCACUCCUGCGCUAGAAAUUCUGCACUACGGACUGACCUGCCCUCGCCCAGAUUAUGCUUAUGCACAUCAUAUGCCGCAUUAGGACCUUUGCACAUGUGCCCAAAGUUUUGCAGGUGCUACCACACCAGAUCCCUGCCAAUUAGCAAUAUCCUACAUAUCCCAAAAUGGUCUAAAACUCGUCCGAAACUCACCCAAGGCCCUCGGGACCUCAUCCAAUCACACCCAAAAGUCCUUAAACACAACACGAACCUACUCAAGGCCCUAAAUCACACUAAAUAACAUCAAAGCCGUGAGUCAUCGAUCAAGAUCAAACUCUUAAGUUCAUAAACUUCAACCAAGCGUCUGAUUCAAGUCUAACUAAUCCGGAAUGAACCCAAAUUUGCACACAAGUCAUAAAUUACCAUAUGAACCUAUUCGAAGGCUCGUAAUCCAAAACGGACAUCAAUUACCUUAAAGUUAACUAUGGGUCAAACCUAUCGACUCUCUAAACCUUUAAAUUUUCAACUUUCGGCAAUUAGCCUCAAAAUCAUCUAAGAACACUGUAACUCAAAUUCGGGCAUAUGCCCAAGUCUAAAAUCACUAUCCAGACCUAAAAGAACCAUAAAAACUCAGAUCUGAGGUCAAAUACACAAAAGUCAAACUUGGUCAACACUUCUAACUCAAGCUUUUAAAUCAAGAGUCAAUCUUCCAAAUCAAUCCUGAAUCACUCGAAAACCAAAACUGACCAUACACAAAAGUAAUACAUCAUAUGAGCUACUCAAGACUUCAAACCACUGAAUGAAAUAUUAAUGCUCAAAACGGCUAUUCGGGUUGUUACAUACCUUAGUCAUAGUCAUAUUUUUCAGUCAUGAUAUUAUAUCUGUGUGUUAUAUAUAUGUGCACUCUUUAUAUGUUAUCUCAUAUUUUGAUAGUGACCUUGUGUGUGUGAUACUGGUUUGAGAUGAGUUGUGUCACGUCGGUAUAUUCUGUGCGGUAUUUUGAUUAUGGUACUGUAAGAUGUUGGCAUAAUGAGACUUGAGGAGAUUGAUGGCUCAUCUUGGGCCAUAAAGUCAAGUUGGUAUUGAUUUUAAGGUGACGCUUGUGCCAAGGCCCCCUAUUAGACUGAGUGAUAUUAAUUGUUCACUUUUGAUUUGAUUGGCGCUUGGGCCAGGGUACCCCCCCCCCCUCCCCCCCUCCUUUCCCCCUCCGGAGUCAGGUGAUAACCCAUGUUACUUUGGGCCCUGUGAGUACGGGCACUUGAUAUGUGCUUAGUGAGGGACUUAUGCCAGGCACCCGUACAGUUCUGAUUGUGUGCAUUUGUGAUGAUUCAGGGACUUUGAGCCAGGUACCGUGAGCAUGCUGAGACUAUCGUUAAGGGGCAUUUGUGCCAGGCACUAUGUAUGUUCUAAGAUUGUGUUUACUUGAUGAUUAAACUAUAAUAUCGUUGAUUUUGGCAUAAAUACUUAUCAUACAGGCAUAGAGUUGUACCUUCCUCAUGCUAUUUGUUAUUUAAACUCUUUAAAGUCGAUGUCUUGAUUGAUAUAUUUGGAAAGCAUGCUUAUUUUCCUCUUAAUGUGACAUAGUUGAACCUGAUAUUAUCGAGUUAUUUUUUAUUUUCGCUAUUAUUAUUAUGUUGUUGUUGCUGUUGGCUGUUGAAAGUGAGUAUUGAACCUUGCUAACCUCGUGGCUGCCUUCAAAUCGAGGUUUGUCUUGCUACUUAUUGAGUACAUGGGGUCGGUUGUACUCAUAUUACAAUGCGCACUUGAUGUGCAGAUCUUCCAAGUGUUACUGAUCGUGGUGGUUGCCAGUGAGCCAUAUCAUGACUUGUUGGAGAUUUCGAGGUAGCACUGUUGUUCCAUUCGCAGGUCUUGAAGUCCUCUCUUUAAUAUCAUGUCAUUGCCGUUCAGUUUUCCAGACAGUAUUGUAUCUUUUUCAGACUCUGUAUUUAGUAUUUUAUAGAGUUCAUAUUUUUGUCGAUACCUGAUUUUGGGAUGGUUUCAAUUGUAUAGUCAUUUGACUUUAGUUAUUUAUGCUUUUUCGCUAUUUGAGAUUUAUUUCUUACUGUUGUUGAAGUUUUUUUAUAUAUUUAUUGUUGGCUUGCCUAGCAAGCGAUAUUAGGCGUCAUCACGGUUCCGAUGGGAUUUGGGGUCGUGGCAAUGAAUGCUCGCAAAAAGCAAAUCUUGGUAUUGACUUAUUGAAAAUCUCUUUGAGAUUUCUUAGAUAAAUCUUUUUAUAUGAGGCCGUUGUUAUGCUUUUAAUCAAGAGUAGUGAGUUGCACUUACUCAACAAAGGGGUGCUUGGUCAAUCUAUUUGUAUAUUAAUGCUAGUUUCCUAUAUAAAAAUAUAGUGCUUGGGUUAAAAUAAUCGGAGCUCCCAUUAGUCCCUAAAUAGGUCUAUCUCUCGUAUGCAUGAUACAUACCAUGUCCGUUCAACCAAUAUAAUGCACGAAACAUGUUCAAAAUGUAUUCACUAAGCUAUUUUCUUUUUUCAAUUCUUUGGUAUAUAUAAAACUUAGUGAAGUAUUUAAGAGCAUAGCAGUUUUCUGAUAACGUGUGUACGCUAGGAAGCCUAUAAUUUUAGCUUUUCUAUUAUGACUGCAUAAUGGGGAUAGACAAAUAACAACUACUAUAGUGGGAGUGUUAUUAAUCCAAACUUAAGGAACGAAAUCUUUGAUUUUCGACAUCUCAUGUAAACGGGUGACAAUGAGAGAGCUCUGCCUGUCAGGGCAGAUCUAUCUUAUAGGGUUGGAACGGUACACCACCGACACGCGUCGGCAAAAAUUCUUAAUAAGUAUGUUGAUAUCUGUGACAAAAAUGGUCAUAUAUAAAAAGUGGCGCCCAAAUUACACAGUGGCAUGUGGGUACCAUGGUUCAACGUUGCUUUUUGAAGUCUCUCAUUUACCGGACGGGUCUAGGUUUUCUUCUUUUAUUUUAAAAAAAAUAAAAAAUCUAGUCCCUAUUUCCUUUAUUCCUUGUUGGGCCUUGGGCCCUCAUCACUUCUCCCUUUUCUUUGGGGAUUUGUAGUCGUACCCUAUAUUUGUGCAAUAUUUUAACUUGUACCCUAUUUUUAAAAAUUAUUGAUUUGGUAGCUAGCGAUAAAAAAAUCCGUAAUAAUAUGACAAUUACACCCCUGACAAAAGAUAUAAAACAUGCAUCACGCAUUAAUCGCGUGAUCUGCAACCUCAUUUGUGAAAAAGGAUCUCCUCCUCUCCUCUCAGCAGCUUUAUCAAAAAAUCAUAAACUUGUCCAAAUUCAUCUUCAGAAUCACACUUGCAUGAAGUUGUUUCACCUUGAAGCUAAAACUCCAUGCUAAUGUAGCAUGAAGUUGUUUCAUAUUGAAACUAAAACUUCAUGCUAAUAUACCAUGAAGUUGUUUCACAUUGAAGCUAAAACUCCAUGCUAAUGCAUGUUGAAGUUAUUUAUCCAGCAGUCUACAAUUUUGUCACGAGUUUUAUCCGAAACUUCAGUCUAAACAUGCUGAAGUUAUUUAGUUCAUUUGCUAAAACUUCAGACUAAAUAUGCUUAAGUGUUUUAGUUCAUUUGCUAAAAUUUCAGACUAAACAUGCUUAAGUUUUUUAGUUCAUUUGCUAAAAUUUCAGACUAAACAUGCUUAAGUUUUUAUCUUGCAGUAUGUAAUUUUCUAAUGAGUUUUUGCUAAUGCAUGCUGAAGUUAUUUUGUUCAUUUCCUAAAAUUUUAGACUAAACAUACUUAAGUUUUUUAGUUCAUUUGCUAAAACUUCAUACUAACAUGCUUAAGUUUUUGUCUUGCAGNNNNNNNNNNNNNNNNNNNNNNNNNNNNNNNNNNNNNNNNNNNNNNNNNNNNNNNNNNNNNNNNNNNNNNNNNNNNNNNNNNNNNNNNNNNNNNNNNNNNNNNNNNNNNNNNNNNNNNNNNNNNNNNNNNNNNNNNNNNNNNNNNNNNNNNNNNNNNNNNNNNNNNNNNNNNNNNNNNNNNNNNNNNNNNNNNNNNNNNNNNNNNNNNNNNNNNNNNNNNNNNNNNNNNNNNNNNNNNNNNNNNNNNNNNNNNNNNNNNNNNNNNNNNNNNNNNNNNNNNNAAAGAGAGAAAACGGGAGAAAGUAUGCAAAAAAUACAUGAAGUAUAAAGCUUGAGGAGCUUUUCAUGCAUUUUUACCUCUCCAGUUCUUGUUUGCAGAGAGGGCAGCAAGAUAUAAUUCUAAGCCAUUGGUCCACACACUUAAGAUGAAAUAUAUGAGAGCAAGGCAAUUGUCUGAUCUCUUCCUUAUCUCCGUACUUUGCUAAGCAUAUACAACAUUCCUGUUGUGACACAAAAACUUGUUUAGUCGUUGAUUUCAACUUUUGUAUAUUGAUAGUAUAAUUACAAAAAGGUCACCUAAACGAUAGCAUCUAUAAAAAGUAAGAUUUGUGAUCUUAAAAGUAGGUCAGAUAGCAUACAUUAUUUAACCUAUAAGUGUAAAAGUUAUAUAAUCUUUGGACUUUGAGUUUAACAUUUAUACCUUAACAAUUUAAAAGAAAUUUUAUACGAUUAGGUCCUUAAAACAUAACUAGGUUAUCUCUUAUGAUAGGUUGUAAAACUUUUUUAUACUGUCAGUAUAGAUAAGUUAAAUAUUUAGACUUUGAGUUUAACUUUAUGCAUUAAAAGUGUAAAAGAAGUUUUGCCCAAUUUAAAAAACAUAAAAGAUAACUAUAAAGCAAAAUACUAUACUGCGAUCAAUGCAUAUAAAUUAAAUCUUUAGAUAUUAAAUUUAAUUCUAUAAAUUGACAUGGUACACAAAUUUUACACGACUAAAUCAUCUAAAAGAUAUCUAGAGUCCAUGAAAAAUAGAAUUAAAGAUCACUUACCACAUUUUCAUUUUCAUUUUCCACACCCGAAUAUUUGGGUUGUUCCUUUUUUCCACUUUCCUUGUACUUCCAACUGGGUAGACUGGAGAGUUGUUCAUCAGAAGCCCCUCGAUCUACGGAUCCCAUGUUCAUGUUGUAGCCUAAAAAGCUACUCAAAAUUGGGACACAGCAGCACAACAAUAGAAACAAUAGGAAGGGGAAAGAGUAGGCGACAGCAUUCCAAGUAAGCAGUGAGAUGCAGAGCAAGUGAAGUUUAGGAGCACGAUGGUAAGACAGAAACCGCGAUUCGAACACCCAAACAUUCCCCAUCACAAACCAUAUGGCAAAGAAUAGCUCAACACCAGUCCUCAAUAUCUCCAUCACAUGCAAUGCCCUAUCAUAAUAUUGUUGAAAAUUUGCAAGUUUUAGUUUAAUAAUAUUUAUUAUAUAUGCUUAAGGAAGAAUGGAUUUUUGCAUUUCAUAUGAUCAAUUAGAGCGUGAUAGAAGAUAUUUCAUAUGAAUGGACCAAGAGUGGAACAGAGGGUAAAAUUAAGCAAUUUCAAAUUAUAACAUAGGAGAAAAUAUGACAUUUUCCUUUUUCUUUUUUUUAUUAACGUCCUUUUCACAUCCCCGCUCGAGUAACAUUCAACCCUUCAUAUGUACAAACACUAUCCAAAACAUCUCUUUAGGCAUCCAUCCUUGGACAAAAAUAGUAUCAAACUUCAAGAGUACAGUAGAGACAGCUAAAAGGGAGGGACAGAAUGUGUACUAAUUAAUCACCUGGAAUAUUCAUCAUGGCUUCUUUGUUGCUCCAUGUCAGAAUCAUCUCUUUGUGGCCUCACAUAGAAUGCCCAGUAGCGCCAGUAAAGCAACAUGACACUAAUAAUACAGCCAAAGGCAUAUCCCAACACCCAUAUCUUCAUUGGCCAAACUGGCUUCUCUUCCUUUGAAACAGCCAGUGUAUAUGAGGCAAUAAUUAUUUGGACACUUAAUGCAAUGCACUCCAUCAUCAUCCAAGUCAUUGAAUUUAAGGGAUUUGAUCCAAGAUCAGAUCUUGAGCCAUUCUGGUAGUGGAAAACCCUUCUUAGGAAACUAAACCACCUUGCUCUUGAUAUUCUCAUCGCCAUUCUUACUAAUAAUGAAGAAGGGAGAAUAGACCUGUUUCUAGUUCCACCCACGCUAGACAUUCUUUCAUCUCCUGCUGCUGCUGAAAUAAUUGGUGGGAAUGAUACAAUAAUGCUCGAAUGGCAAAGCGACACUGGUGUAAGAAAGUAUCGUGUAUUCAUCGGGGAAUAAUAUUUAGUAUGGACCUGAUCGAUCUGUAUUAGUAAUAGGUGACUGUUAUAAUAAACACGAUUUGAUAACAACAAAAAGAAAGUAAAUAUAGUUAAUAUGCUACUAUAACAAGUAAAAUUACAGUAAUAAUGUAGACAUUCUUUACACAGUCAGUGUAUAUAACUUAAAUUCAUACCUAUUAACCGGGAGAAAUUUCCAAGAACUUUCAACUUCUACGUAUGCAAGUUAUGUUUCAUUUUAGCAACUGCAUGGACAAGACACCUUGUGAGUGUGCACAGAAUUCCCAUGCUUAAAAUGAUCUAACACCAGCUAAUUAUUCAACCUAUUUUAUGGUCCAAUUUCAAUGUCACAAUUUAUAUGCUGACUACUACUUUUGAUCAUUAACCUCCAAUGCCAUAUUUCAAGAAAUUCAACAGCAAGGAUAACAGAUAAAUGAAGUGGCUGUACUAUAAAAGUAUGAUAACGGUGAAAGAAAAUAGAUACAGAAAGAGAGAGAUAUGGAAAUGGAAAUAAAAAAAAAAUGCUUAAGAAGAGAAAGAGGCGAUGGGGUUGAAUCAACAUGACAGGGGAAUCUGUUGAAGUCGGGUUCAGAUGGUGACCAAGAAUCGAACAGCUUUACUUUGAUUCCAAGUGAAGUACUUUUAUGAGAUGGUGAGAACCAUACCAUUUGCCUAACUUCCUGCGACGUUAAUUUAAUUUCUUUUCUUUUUGUUUAUUUAGGAAGCAAAGUAAGGCUGUAAGUUUGUAGUUCUUCAAAUGGACAUAUACUCACGAAUUGAAUUGAAUUAGAACAUCGGCAAACGAUAAUUUACUUUUCUGACGUUAACCAAUGGACGAGCCAGAAUUUUUACUAAGGGGAUGUAUUGGUGGAAAAAGUCAUGACACGUGGAACAACAUUAAGCUGACGAGGCAUGACGCGUGGAGUGUCGAUAUAGCUACAAGUGGCAUUCUCAAUUAACUGAAUUAAGAAUGCGCGGAAGAUACGGGAGAAACACCCACGGGGUAGCAUAAGAGAAAAGAACCGAGCCUGACAGUUGUCAAAGGAAAAACAGGAACGGAAUGAAUGAAGACUGCAAAGAAGGGAAGAUACAUGAACCAGAGAUAAAUAAGAAAGGAAAAUCGGGAGCAAUUAUAAGGAAUCUUUAGUCAUAAAUAUGUCAGUUACGGUUAUCUAUAGUAAUGGGCAAUCAAUACAGUUAAUGCCCUUAAUUAGUCCAAAUUAAGUAUGAUAAUAGUUACGAUUGUAUGCUCCUAUAUAAGGAUGAGAAUUCCAUUUGUAAGGACGUGUGACGAUUAUUACUGAAAAUCAUACUACAAAUCUUUGCUUACUCUCCAAAUUUUCAACCUUGAUUUUGGGAAGUAUUUGUCAAUUUAUUCCUCAUUUUUCUUUGUUAAUUAUUUCCAUCAUUUCUUUUAUUUUUCUUAAGAUUAUUGAGAAAGUGAAGUAAAACUUGGUUAUCAGUAACCCGUUUUCUUCUAGAUAUUGACUUUGACCGAAAAAUCUAUUUUUGAUUAAACAAAUUAGUUCCGUUACCGGGAAUCUGAUAAUCUUUUCACUUUCUAAAUUCUACUUUUUAACAAUCAACUAUGUCAACUGCUGACGAAAAUAACCAGUUGAACCCACAAGGUGGAACUCCACCACUCCCUUCUCCAACGGGAUCCCCUCAGCAAUUCCGUGGAGGUUCACCUGAAAGGUCUACAUCGCGCGCUGAUGAUCAACAAGGAGAUGAACAAACUGUAGAGCAGGACGCUCUAAAGCAAUUGAUUGCAGAACACGUGAAUUGUUCUCUACAAGCUUUUGUUAGAGGAUUGCGCGCCACAAACUCCUUAAGAGGCAGAAAUUUCCAAGAACUUUCAACUUCUACGCAUGCAAGUGAUGUUUCAUUUUAGUAACUGCAUGGACAAGACACCGUGUGAGUGUGCACAGAAUUCCCAUGCUUGAAAUGAUCUAACACCAGCUAAUUAUUCAACCUAUUUUAUGGUCCAAUUUCAAUGUCACAAUUAAUUAUAUGCUGACUACUACUUUUGAUCAAUAACCUCCAAUGCCAUAUUUCAAGAACUUCAACAGCAAGGAUACCAGAUAAAUGAAGUGGUUGUACUAUAAAAGUAUGAUAAUGGUGAAAGAAAAUAGAUACAGAAAGAGAGAGAUAUGGAAAUGGAAAUAAAAGGAAAUGCUUAAGAAGAGAGAGUUUUGAUGGGGUUGAACCAACAUGACAGGGGAAUCCGUUGAAGUUGGGUUCUGGUGACUAAAGAAUCGAACAGCUUUACUUUGAUUCCAAGUGAAGUACUUUUAUGAGAUGGUGAGAACCAUAACCAUUUGCCUAACUUCCUGUGACGUUAAUUUAAUUUCUUUUCUUUUUGUUUAUUUAGGAAGCAAAGUAAGGCUGUAAGUUUCUACUUCUUCAAGUGGACAUAUACUCACGAAUUGAAUUGAAUUAGAACAUCGGCAAAAGAUAAUUUACUUUUCUGACGUUAACAAAUGGACGGAGCCAGAAUUUUUACUAAGGGAAGUCAAAAUAUAAAGAAAUAAAUACACAAAAAAAUUAAGAGGAUUACACAUAUAGUUUACAGAUAAAAAAUUUUUUACUUAUCUACACAAUAUAAUUUAUGACACACUUUGGACAAGGGUGGCUCUGCCACUGGUUAACGCUUGUAAGGUCCAUUUUUAUUUUUAAUUAUAGAAAUGCUAACUGAUUAUAUUCGGAUAGCUAUAUUAUUUGGGGAGUAGUAUUUAAUUUGAUAAAAAAAGAGUAUUUUGGAAAUGAUCAUGAGGAGUAACAAUAGUUAACGGAUUGACGAUCAUUUAGGAUAGCAACUUUAGGAUCAUUUAGGAUGGCAGAUGGCCACCAUAUCAAAGUAGCAGUAAGAGCAACUUUAGCAUCUGUGGCCAGCCACUGUCAGAGCUGGUACUUUGAUAUGUGCAAAACAACUAAAUCCUAAGGAGUAGUUUUUGUUAGGUUAAUUUUUCUCCAAACAUACCUUAUACAUAACAAUUUGCAUUUAUGUAUAAUUUCAGUUUGUGUUUAUUUAGGAACGCUUGAAGGGAUUCUCCAAGCUAGGCUAUUUCUGAAUAUUUGUCAUUCGGUCAUGCUCAAUCGAAACCGAUAUAUAUAUUCUGACUUGUACAUUUAUAGGAACCUUCGAACUUAGCUUGUAAUUAAUAUCCUACUAAAAGAUCAAUUCCCUACUUUGCUCGUAAAAAGUUUACCCUUUUAAAGGUUAUAAACAAAAAAGACAGCUUAAUUUGUUGUUCUUGAACAUAUAUCAGCAAUCACUAUCGAAAGAACAACUUGCUUCGACUCGAAAAUUAUGAUGCUUAGGUUUAAAGUUUUCAUGGUUUUUGCAGAAAAACUAUAGAGCGCUGGAGGGCCAUGGUUGGUACUUGGAACUUAGUAGGGUAGACGUAUCAAAAUUACACUAUUUUGACAUCCUUAAAUUAAGAAAGCUCAAUUGUUCUCUAUAUACGUAGCAUCAAUAGGUUGGAUCGUCAGCCUCACUAGCUUGUUGAAACGUUACAUGGCUUCUCCAAACACCACCAAUUAUCCCACUGAUAUUUUAUAUGUCAAUGCCACACAAGAGGGGGUGAUUUGUGUGGUAUCCAAUUUUCGCGUGCACUGAUUAUAGAAGGACCUGGUUCUUCUAAGUAUUCCUUAACCUACUGUUGCUGAAAUAGUAAAUACGAAAAGUAAAGAACACAAGUAUUUUUAUGUGAAAAACACCCGGCUCAAAAGGUAAAAAAAACUACGACCUACUACUCUGUAGGAUUUUUCCCAACACUUCACUAAAUUACUAAGCCAAAACAGCAUUUACAAAAACUCUUUGUAAACCUAAGGAUUACCUCUAAUCCAGUUGUGGCAACCAGUCUCUAACUGUUGCGACAACUUCAAGUUAACUCUAACUUGAAUACUCAGAGUACCUAUUACAAUUGCUUCUAGAUAAAGCUGAAAGGUACAAUUUGAAAACCACCUACUACAAUUGAACUAGAAUAAAAGACAGACGCUUGGAACCAGUUCUUCUAUCUGGUUCAUGUAGCUUCAGGUUCGCACAGUUGAAUCACACAAGAAUUGCUUACAAAAUGCCUUGCUAUUUUGCUCUCAACUCACGUUUAACUUCUGCUUUUGUGCGUGCCUGUAGAAUGAGAACAUCCUGCAAGAUAUAGAGUUAGUAGAAUAAGAAACAACUAGAGUUCUAAUGCUACUCUUCCUUGGUGGAAGAGUUCUAGUUAUCCUCAACUUCUAAACCCUCCCUUAUCUUGGAUAGUGUUCUCUUUGAGUAAGGAGUCAUUUUCCUUAUCAAUUAUGCAACAUUUUCGAUAAGGAGAUAUCUGAUAUAACAAGUUAAGCUUAUCUCAUUCACGUGCAUUCCUUAUGCUAGAAUCUGUCCGUGUUUGUGUACACAGGGGAUGGACCUGGUUCAUGCCUAAGCUUCCUUUGUCAAUCUUCAAAACAAAACUUCUCUUGGGCCAACGAAUUCCCCCUUUUUGAUGAUGACAAACUCUGUGCUUUUCAUAAGCUUAGACCUUGUUUCAACUCAGCUCAACAUCAACACAAUGUUAGAACAUUUUACCUUUUUAAAGUCACUUGUCAUCAAGGACCAGGUUCAUUAGGUUAUAAACAUCAUUGUCCAAAGUGAAAGCACAACCUUUUUCCCCCUUUUUGCAUCAUCGAAAAGUUGCAUAAUAAUGUUAGAUAACCUGAUUUUAAAUAGAAAUUACUCAUGGCCACCGGGACUACAUCACAUGCAAUCAUGGAGUCAAAUAUCAUCAAUCAAUCUAAGGAUAUUAGCCAUCUAAGAAAUAUCAACAAACAAUUAUAGCAAAAGCAGUGAAUUUCAUUGAUUGAUAAGAUCCUACCACAAAGCAUAAGAAGAAAUAAAAAUACCGGAUCAUGAGCAAAAGAAGCAAAAACAAAUCCCGAACUGGGUCACUGGUUGAUCUACACUAGGCUAGGAAGCUUAAGGCUGGGAAGGAGUAGGUUAUUGGUUUUGGGUUUGGAGCAGUUUCAGCAUAUCCUGAAGAAUACUAUCAUUCUUCUCCUUUUCUUUUGCCAACUCAGCUCUGAGAGUAUCUCUCUCAGUCUCCAUCUCUGCCAACUUCUUCUUUAGCCUAUCAAUCUUAACAUCCUUAGCCCCACUUUCUUGCAUCAAAGUUCGCACUUUGCUGUUCACCGGUAUCUUUUUGGAUGAACCAGGUUCUUUAGGAGUGGUUUGGACUUCAUAGUCACAAGCAUUUAAAGUGUUUGCCCCAAAAUGAUCCUUGCUUGUACCAACUUCCCAUUUCUUGAUGGGUACCUUGAAGUGUGCAAGUACAGCAGUGAGAAUAAAGCCAUAGGGUAUGGCGUAAGUCUUGGUGCCAUUUAGAACCCUGUCAAGAAGCCGGAUGAUAAAUCCAUGCCAAUUGAUUUGCCUCCCACUUUCCAAAUAUUCCAUAAGGACCAGGUCCAUGAAUGUGGCAAUGUGCCUCUUUUCUUGCCUUGGCAGCACACAUUUGUUAACAAAUUCGAAUAGCACUUUGUGGGGAGGCUUCAUCUAACUUUUGUAAAUAGUCUUGGGCUCAAGCUCAUCUUCAUUGUCACCAAACUUCCUAGUAAUGGAAAGGGCAGUAGGGAGAUUCUCUAGAUUUGUCCAUUUAAGUUUCUUAUAAUCAUUAUACCCUUCAGCAGAUACACCUAAGAUAUCUCCCAAUUCUUUAUCAUCAAAACUCACUUUCAUCCCAUUUACCACACUGGUGACCCUACCAUUUUUUAUCUCACAAUUUGCUAUGAACUCCACAAUUUCAGUCCUGGCCAGUUUUUUAUCCAUCUGAAGAACCAUGUCCUUCCAUCCUUGCAAUUGUAACUUCUCCAGCAGCAGUAACAUACCUUCCUCUUCCAAGUCCCUUAGGAGUUUGCCUUUCAAGAUGGUUUUCUUCCCAAACUUAACCAUCUUAUCCUUCUCAGCAUCAGAUUCUUCUUCUUCUUCUCCACUCCAUUCCUCUUCCUCCACUAUUUUCACUUUUCUUGGUUUCAAUGCAGACCUGGUUCUUUUUCCCAAAGUAGAUGGCUCCGCAGACUUAGCCUUUGAAACAGACUUCUUUGUGGAAGUCUUGGCUUUCCUUGACUUUGGAGUCACAACCUCCAUUUCCACUAUCUCCUCUUCUCUCGAUGGACCAGGUCCAUCUCAUCAAUUUAAACAGCCUUAACAGGCUCAACCACCUUCUUUUUUUCUUUAGCAACAACUUUUCUCUUACUUUCUGCUAAGGCUUUUUCUAGUUCAGCCUCACUCUGCUUCUUCUGACUCAUUGUAGCUCUUCCUCUUGUAGGAGAAAUCUUUACAGGGAUAGAAAAAGCAGCCUUUCUCUUCUUGUUUGCCCUAGCAGUGCCAUGAACUUUGACUUCUGGACUCCUUUUCUUUUUGGGAUUGUAACUGUCAGCCACCCUUUUCAGUAGGUCUACGAGGAUUUCCUGGUCAGAUGGAACAGGCUCUUGAGCAUCUUUCCCUAAUUGAAUCAACCCUUCAGCAGCUUCUCCAGAACCCACUACCCCAUGUUUCUCUCACAUUAUCUUCUUUUCCAACAGACUCCUUACUCCAAACUACCAUAGCAUCCGAUUCGUUAGUUAAACCAACAAGAAUGGGUGAAGAAUCAACCACUCUUUUUCCCGUACCCCUCACAACACUUCGUUCACCCUCACUCUCUUUUUCUUUUCUCUUUUCAUUUUUACCACCAACCUUUCCAGACUCAGUAGUUUCAACACUUGCUACAGUUCCUACCAGAACAAACCUAGUCUCCAAAUUUAUAGCAAUCUCAGAAAUAAUUUGAGGAGUACCUUUAGGGCCAGAAGUUACCUGCUCUGUUUCAGAAGAAACUAUUUCUUCCCCCUCAAUAGCAGACUUGAAUGAUUCAUCAGAUUUCUAGGGUUCUUCUUCCCUACCCGCUUUCAAUCUUUCAUUUAUUUUCUUGAUUUUCUCUCCACCAGUGACAACCUUGCAAGCUAUCAUUUUUACCCUACUUUUCUUAGAGGUUGGCGAAGGUUAAUAGAUGGGGUGGAUGUGAUUUCAUUGGGUGGUGAUGAAGGAUUCUCAGAGGUGUUAGCCAUUUCUGUGCUUGGGAAUUUUGGGGGAAAUGGGUUUAUGUAUGUUUUGGAAGUUGAGAGAGAAGAGAAAUUCUUGAUGGCUUGAGAAUUGAGAAGUGAGGAAGAAACUGAGGCCUAAUCAAUUUAAAGUGGAGGUCUUUGAUUGGGUAACGGCUGCUUUUACAGAAGUCUAAUCAAACUGAAAUUCAGUUUGAAAAGACGUUGAAGAGUGUCCCUAGAAUCUAGGCACUUAAUGUGGUUUGAACUCUAUUUGAAUGAAACCGGUCCAUUUCGUAACUGAUAAGAUCGAUGGGUUUAGGAUUGAAUGGGACUCUCCUUUUGAUCAAAAUCCAAAUAUAAUUAUUCUAAAUUAUGCAGAGUGGAGAAUACAUACCAAGUAAUCNNNNNNNNNNNNNNNNNNNNNNNNNNNNNNNNNNNNNNNNNNNNNNNNNNNNNNNNNNNNNNNNNNNNNNNNNNNNNNNNNNNNNNNNNNNNNNNNNNNNNNNNNNNNNNNNNNNNNNNNNNNNNNNNNNNNNNNNNNNNNNNNNNNNNNNNNNNNNNNNNNNNNNNNNNNNNNNNNNNNNNNNNNNNNNNNNNNNNNNNNNNNNNNNNNNNNNNNNNNNNNNNNNNNNNNNNNNNNNNNNNNNNNNNNNNNNNNNNNNNNNNNNNNNNNNNNNNNNNNNNNNNNNNNNNNNNNNNNNNNNNGAAAAUAGAGAAAAUAUCAUUAGGUAUGAAUGAGUCAUUUUAGCACAUGGCACAAGAGUAUACUGAUGAAAGUAUGAAACUUAGCAAAAUCUAAUCAAAUUAUGUACAAAAUUUAUAGAUUUUCUAACCAAAUUUUUUUUUUCAUUAUGAAUUUGAACUGGUCCUUUUAGGUGAUCUUAAUCAUCCCUAAUUCUAACAUGUUCCUUUCAAAGUGAUCUCUACUUAGAGAUUUUGUAAAGAUGUCAGCUAUUUGCUUGUCAGUAGCACAAAACUCCAUAGAAAUCAAACUUUUUUCAUAGUUAUCCCUCAAAAAGUGAUGCCUCACAUCUAUGUGCUUAGUCUUUUUGUGAUAAAUCGGGUUCUUGGUCAUACUAAUUGCACUAGUGUUAUCACAAAAGAUAGGGAUACAACCUACAUCAUUCCCAAAGUCCAUUAAUUGUUGUUUGGUCCAUAGCAAUUGAGCACAGUAUGAAGCAGCAGCAACAUACUCAGCUUCAGCAAUAGAUAAGGCCACAGAAUUUUGCUUUUUGGUGGCCCAAGACACAAGACAUGAGCCAAGAAAGUGUGUCAUACCUGAGAUGCUCUUUCUAUCCACAAGAAAACCUGCAUAAUCAGCAUCAUCAUAUCCCACUAGAUUGAAAUUACUACCUUUCGGAUACCAUAGACACAGGUCAGUGGUGCCUUUUAGGUAUCUCAAGAUCCUCUUGACAGCAGUCAAGUGAGACUCCUUUAGAUUUGCCUGAAAUCUAGCACAAAGGCCUACACUGAAAAUAAUGUCAGGUCUGCUAGCAGUGAGAUACAAUAAAGAGCCAAUCAUUCCCCUAUACAACUUAUGAUCAGCAGAUGAACCAGGUUCAUCUAUAUCCAAUUUUGUGGUUGUUGCUACAGGAGUGUCAAUUUCUUUGGAAUCUUCCAUUUUAAACCUUUUAAGCAACUCUUUCACAUACUUCUAUUGAUGGAUCAUAGUUCCAUUUGAGUUAUGUUUGAUUUGUAAGCCUAAAAAGAAAUUAAGCUCAUCCAACAUACUCAUUUCAAAUUCACUUUCUAUUAGUUUAGCAAAUUCUUUACUUAACUUAUCAGUAGUUGCUCCAAAGAUUAUAUCAUCAACGUAUAUCUGAAUUACCAAGAGAUCUUUACCUUUUUCUUUCAAGAAUAAAGUAUUGUCAAUUUUACUUCUCUUGUAGCCAUGCUUAAGCAAAAAAUUUGAUAGUCUUUCAUACCAUUCNNNNNNNNNNNNNNNNNNNNNNNNNNNNNNNNNNNNNNNNNNNNNNNNNNNNNNNNNNNNNNNNNNNNNNNNNNNNNNNNNNNNNNNNNNNNNNNNNNNNNNNNNNNNNNNNNNNNNNNNNNNNNNNNNNNNNNNNNNNNNNNNNNNNNNNNNNNNNNNNNNNNNNNNNNNNNNNNNNNNNNNNNNNNNNNNNNNNNNNNNNNNNNNNNNNNNNNNNNNNNNNNNNNNNNNNNNNNNNNNNNNNNNNNNNNNNNNNNNNNNNNNNNNNNNNNNNNNNNNNNNNNNNNNNNNNNNNNNNNNNNNNNNNNNNNNNNNNNNNNNNNNNNNNNNNNNNNNNNNNNNNNNNNNNNNNNNNNNNNNNNNNNNNNNNNNNNNNNNNNNNNNNNNNNNNNNNNNNNNNNNNNNNNNNNNNNNNNNNNNNNNNNNNNNNNNNNNNNNNNNNNNNNNNNNNNNNNNNNNNNNNNNNNNNNNNNNNNNNNNNNNNNNNNNNNNNNNNNNNNNNNNNNNNNNNNNNNNNNNNNNNNNNNNNNNNNNNNNNNNNNNNNNNNNNNNNNNNNNNNNNNNNNNNNNNNNNNNNNNNNNNNNNNNNNNNNNGCUUCCAAUCUUGCAAUUGGAGCAAAAGUCUCAUCAUAGUCUAUGCCCUCCUCUUGACUAUAUCCUUGAACCACCAAUCUUGCCUUGUUCCUUGUAACUGUUCCAUCUUCAUCAAGUUUGUUUCUGAAGACCCAUUUAGUGCCAAUUACUGAUAUGUCCUUUGGUCUUGGUACCAGAUGCCAAACUUAACUUCUCUCAAAUUGGUUGAGUUCAUCUUGCAUUGCAUUCACCCAUUCUGCAUCCUGCAAAGUCUCAGCAACAUUUUUAGGUUCAAUAAGAGAUAGAAAAGCAUCAAAAGCACAAAGAUUCUUCAAAGAAGAUCUGGUUUUGAUUCUAGAGGUUGGAUCAGUAAUUAUGUUCUCAAUGGGAUGAGAACUUUGGUACUUAUAAGGUUUCACAACCAGCUGGUUUCCCUUAGAUAUUCCUUUAGUAUUUUGUUGCUGAGGAAUAGGUUCAUGGACAGGUUCCCUCAGGGUUUGAGGAUCAGUUCUUCUUUGUUCAGUUCCCCCUGUCAGGUUGCCCUGGGUAGAAGGACUUGUUCCUUCCUUUGGUACAACUUCAGUCUGGGCUGUGGUUUUAUUUGAGUUUCUAACCAGACCAAUUGCUUCAACUUCAUGUUCCUGUCUCUCAGAAAGAAUGUUAGUUUCAUCAAAAACUACAUGUACACGUUCUUCUAUACACAUAGUUUUUUGUUAUAAAUCUUGUAAGCUUUACUAUGUGAAGAAUAUCUCAAGAAUACUCCAACAUCACUUCUGGGAUCAAACUUACCUAGAGAGUCUUUACCAUUAUUGUACAUAAAGCAGUUGCAUCCAAAUGCCCUAAGAUGAGAUAUGUUUGGCUUUCUCCCUUUAAGUAACUCAUAGGGAGUCUUCUCUACAAGAGGUCUUGUCAUGCACCUAUUUAUGAUGUAACAUGCAGUGUUCACAGCUUCUGCCCAGAAAUUAUGAGGCAGUUUACUAGAAAGAAGCAUAGUUCUAGCCAUAUCUUCAAGUUUUCUAUUUUUUUCUUUCAACUACUCCAUUUUGUUGUGAAGUCUUAGGAGCAGAAAAGUUAUGAUCUAUGCCAUGUUCAUCACAAAAUUCAAAAAAUUUAGCAUUCUCAAAUUCAGUAUCAUGAUCAGACGUAAUUGAUGCAAGUUGAUUACCUAGUUGUUUCUGAGUUUUUCUAACAAACGAAGUGAACAUGUCAAAUGCUUCAUCUUUAGAUUUUAAAAACAAUGUCCAAGUAAACCUAGAGUCAUCAUCAACAAGCACCAUCACAUAUCUCUUACCACUUCUGCUUAAUAUUCUCAUUGGUCCACAAAGAUCCAUAUGGACCAGUUCCAUCGUCCUGGUAGUGCUUACCAUUUUCUUGCUUUUAAAAGAGGAUCUUACCUGCUUUCCCCUUGCACAAGCCUCACAAAUCUUAUAUUCCUUGAACUUAAUGUUAGGCAGUCCUAUCACCAAGUCCUUGGAGACAAGUUUGUUGAGUUGACUUAGACUGGCAUGUCCAAGUCUCUUGUGCCAAAGAAGGGGAUCAUUAUUCAACACACUUAAGCAAGUGAGUUCAUUUUAUGAAAGUGUGGACAGAUCUACAACAUAUAUGUUGUUCACUCUUUUUCCCUGCAAAACUAUCUUGUCAGUGGUAAGAUUAAUCACAAAGCAUUUAGUAGAUGUGAAUGCUACCAUGUUACCUCUAUCACACAAUUGUGAUACACUUAUUAGACUGUACUUUAGUCCAUUUAUCAAGUAGGCAUUCUCAAUAGAAUGAGAAUCAUUCUUACCUACCUUUCCAACCCCAAUGAUCUCACCUUUCUUACAUCUUUUAAGGUCCUCAAGUGAAAGGAAUUGGUUCUUAUUUCCUGUCAUGUGCUUUGAGCAGCCACUAUCCAUGUACCAUAUUUGACUGCUCUCCUUCACUUGGACCUGCAAAAAGAAAUCAGGGGUUAGUCUUAGGAACCCAAACUAGUUUGCGUCCCUUUCUAUAGGCAAAAGGAUAAAUUAAAUUCUUUUUAGCCCAACUUGGUAGCCUAUUUUUUCCUUGAACAAAUUAUUUAUUCUUUUGACUUGCCUUUUCUUUUGCAGUGCAUUCACUUUUAUAGUGACCUUUUUUACCAUAGUGUGUGCAAAUUUUGUUCUCAGGAAGUGUGAGGUACUUGCUUUUAGGAUCCCAUUUAGGUGCCAGGUUCCCAAAGCCAAGUCCUCUUCUAUUGCUACUAUGAUGUUCCUGUAGCCAUGAAAGUGCAUCGGAGGACCUGUUUUAUUUACAAGCUCUGUCUAGCUCAUGCUUGACCUUGCUUAAAUCCUCCUUUAGGAUUCUUACCUGCUCAUCCCUUUUAUACAACUCAUCUUUCUCAUUUUUCCUAUAUUUUCUUCUAGAGUGAGUUGUGUGUUAUCAGCUGUCUUUUUACCUGUUCCUAAUUUCAGUUUUAGAUUUUCAGAUCUAAGCUCUAGGACAGUUGAGUCGAGUGCACGAACCUGGUUCUUCAAAAUAGUAUUUUCACUUACAGUUUCACUAACCCUAAGUUCCAGGUUUUUGCACUUAGCCUUCAAACUCACACAUUCUUUAGACAACUGUUCCUUUCAUUAUUUACAUACUCAGAUUCAUCAAUUAGUUUUAGAAGUAACUCAGAUAACCUUUCUUUAGACAAUAAUUUAAUCUUGUCUUUGAGAUGAAUUACACUUACCUCAGUUUCCUCAUCAGAUUCUCCAAUGGCCAUAAGUGUUUGUUCAUCCCCAUCAUCAUCAUCUGAGCUUUCUCCCCAAGCAGUGACCAUAGUCUUGGUUGAUCCUUUGCUUUUCUUGGGUUGAACCUGUUCCUUCUUCUUGUUCCUUCGUUCAGCUCUUUCCUUAUUCCAUUCAAUUUCCUAUUGGGGACAGUUUUUAAUGUGGUGAUCAGUCUUUCCACACUUGUAGCAUCCAUCAUUGGUUUGCUUCUCAGGAACUUUUGAUUUACUAUAGCUUCCACUUCUUGAAGGACCAUUUCCUCUCCUCAAGUACUUCUUGAAAUCCUUGGUGAUCAUAGCCAUUUCAUCAUCUUCUAGAUCAGAACCUUCAGUGAUUCUGAGUGCAAGGCUCCUUUCCUUCUUAGGUACAUCCAUUUUCAUGGUUUGUCUCUUAAGUUCAUAAGUAGUGAGAUUUCCAAUUAAUUUAUCCAGUGGGAGGGUGGCAAUGUUCUUUGAUUCCUGAAUGGCAGUAAUUUUGCUCUCCCAAGUAACAGGAAGAACCCUUGUCAAUAUUUUAUCGACUCUAUCUUCUUCAGAAAUAAUUCUUCCAAGAGACUUUAGUUCAUUGUCAAUGUAGUGAACCUUGUGUACAUCUCUUGAAUGGUUUCUCCUUCCUUCAUAUUAAAGUUCUCAUAUUGAGAAUACAGUAGAGUUCCUCUGGACCUUUUCACCUGAGGUGUUCCUUCGUGAUCCACUUGCAGAGUGUCCCAGAUUUCCUUGGCAGUGGUACAGCUUUGGAUUCUGCUAUACUCAUCUGGACCAAGUCCACAAACAAGCCAUUCAUUGGCUUUAGCAUUCUUCUCCCAUUUCUUCAAGUCCUCAACAGUGCAAUCAGCUCUUGUCUUUGGCACAUCUUCUCUUUUAGCAUUUUUCUUCAAAGUAGCCAGUGGAUCAUCAGUGACAAUAUUCCAUAGCUCAUAGUCCUCUCCUAUGAUGUGAUCUCUUAUCCUACUUUUUCACUAAGAGUAAUAUCGGUCGUUGAAGAGUGGUGGCCUAGCAGUGGAUUGCCCUUCCCAGUUUCCAGGUGGUGCACUCAUCUUGAUCUUCUCCUAAGGUGUUAGCCUCUUCAAGGAUAACCCGCUAUAAUACCAAUUGAUAUUUUAUAUAUCAAUGCCACACAAGAGGGGGGUGAUUUGUGUGGUGUACAAUUUUUGCGUGCAUUGAUUAUAGAAGAACCUGGUUCUUCUAAGUGUUCCUUAACCUACUGUUGCUGAAAUAGUAAAUGCGAAAAGUAAAGAAUACAAGUAUAUUUAUAUGGAAAAUACCCGGCUCAAAAAGUAAAAAAACCACGACCUACUACUCUGUAGGAUUUUUCCCAACAUUUCACUAAAUUACUGAGCCAAAACAGCAUUUACAAAAACUCUUUGUAAACCUAAGGAUUACCUCUAAUCCAGUUGUGGCAACCAGUCUCUAACUGUUGCGACAACUUCAAGUUAACUCUAACUUGAAUACUCAGAGUACCUAUUACAAUUGCUUCUAGAUAAAGCUGAAAGGUACAAUUUGAAAAUCACAUACUACAAUUGAACUAGAAUAAAAGACAGACGCUUGGAACCGGUUCUUCUAUCUGGUUCAUGUAGCUUCAGGUUCGCACACUUGAAUCACACAAGAAUUGCUUACAAAAUGCCUUGCUAUUUUGCUCUCAACUCACGUUU